AGUUUGUCAGUGAGACCUAAAUAUGAUCCCUUGUUCCCAUGCAUGCGUUGCAUUGUCUAUUAGGAACCUUCAUUUGCAUAUGUCAAUAUGGUAAACCUAUACAAGAAGGAAAUGCAUUCUAUUGGUAUUGUAGACCAAAUUAGGAAUAUGUACCAAGUUGGUAGGUUAAACGUCCAGCUAGGAGGCCUAAGAAAAUUAUUACUUUUUUUUAGAGAAAAAAGGAACCAUCUUGUAAAAAACUAAUCCAUGAUGGUUACAACAUCGUUUUUUUUUUUUUUUAAUAAAAGCUUAUAUGUCGACACUUGUUUAGCGUCGUUAUUUUUCAAGUCACGACACAUUUUUUGACAUAUAAAUAAAUUAAAUACAUUAUGCAUAUUCUAGUAUUCUUUGCCCUAUUAGUGAUGUCUUCUAAUCUGCUUGAUUGUUUAUCUAUUUUGUUCUAACUAUAUAUUUAUCUUUGUUGUUUUAAAAGGAGUAUUAGCAAACAACUAUAUAUUAGUGAUUUUGUCGCAUUGAAAAAAGUAAUCAGAUGCAUACCUCGUCCUCACUUGUCAGAGUUAUUGGGUCUUUUGUUGUUGGUUUCUUCGAACCAGUUAUUCUGGCACACUUUAAUCUUUUACUGAUCACCCUUGUUCUUCGUUCACUCUCUUCUCUUUUUUCAUAGAUUUAAUAUUUGCUUCACUUUAUUAGUUAAAUAAGCAUUUAUAAAUAUUCAUGAAAUUUUUGUUAUAGUUUGUAGUUCCUAGAAAUGAAUAAUUAAUUCAAAAGUGUAUCCUCUAUAUAUAAUUAAUCACUGAAAAAAAUAAUAAACGACUUAGAUGGUAUUCUUCAUGACAUUUUUUACUUUUUCUGACUUAUGAAGUAGUUGCAAAAAUAGAGGAGGUCACUAGACUAUUUUGUCACCUUUGCAUGUCACAAUUGGCAAGGAUUAGAGAGGCUGUCAAGAUAAUUGGUUGCCUUAUUUUUGUUAAUUAUAGACAAUACGUGCGUCCAUUAAUAACUUUUGAACAAAAGAAGAAAUGAGACAAACAUUGUUUUUGUAGAAAUCGAAGGUGGACACCCCCUUUCAAGUGAGAUGAUGUUCGUGCAGUUUAGGUAAGCUAGGUAAUAUCACGUUGGUGAAUGUUUUAUGAACGACGUCUUGGGCCGCUAGUUUUGCAAGGAUUCCAAUGUCUGGAGCUUAACGUUGCUAAGAUGGAAGGUUCAAGAUGUGCUUUAAUGGAGAUGAAAGAGUUUUGGAGGGAAAUUAGGGAUUAGAGGGAUUUUAGGUGUUUGAGUGUUUUGGUAGGAAAAAAUAAAAGGAGAGAGUUGAAAGGAUUUGGGUUGGGAAGUGUGAUUCAAUCUUGGGGUAUUUGGUUUUUGGAAAUGAUUGUAUUUGGAAGGUAAGUUAUUUUACUAGAGUAUGAGCAUUUAAGACAUUUUGCAACGUAAUAUUUAUUUCGUUUUUUUGAUUUUUCCAUAUCAACAAUUAAAAUUAAUCUUUGUUAUUGUAUCCAAAGUAAACCGGUAAAUUUGAUAGUUUUUUUGUCCGCCCAAAAAAGAAGUGCCUAUGCCGAAAAGUAACUAAAUAAGCUGAACUCAAGUAAGAUCAUGCAAAAUUACUAUAAAUAAUGCUUGAAGGAAUUGAAACUCAAAAAGAUUGUGAAGAAAUACAACUAUGUUGAAGUUCUAUAAAGUGCAUAAUUAUUUUAAAGAUUUAAAGAUCUAAGCUUCAAAUAUUAACUUUUUCUCUCUCUUGAAGAUCUAAAGACCAGAAGCUCAUAAGGAUUUUCAGAAGAUUAGAAGAUCGAUCACUUGAUGAAGCUCGUUAAGUUAGAAACUCCAUAGACAACUAUCCAAAAUAAAAGUCAAAGAUUCUAGAGAAACUAGAAAAUAAGAAGCCUCUACUCAACUAUUGAUCAUAAUCAAAUACAUUUUUUAAAACCAAAAACACUUCGACCACUUCUAAACUCAAGAACUAUAGCAUCCAGGACAAGUUGUGAAAAUAUUGAGACAAAUAUGCAUGUGCACCAAGAACAAGCUUAUAUAAAUAUUUUUAUUAUUGUUUAACAAAUUUAAGCUUAUAUAAAUAUUAUUAUUAUUGUUUAACAAAUUUAAGGAAGAAGUAAGUUUAGGCGACUAAAAGUAAAAAUUUAGUGAAUGUACAUUCACUGAAAUUGAUCAAAGUAAUUUAAAGUAAUUUAGAUGAACGAAAAUGGAAGAAAGUAUAGGAAUUCAAAUAAAAUAAUGUUUUUAAUUCUUACGAAUAUUAAUGAAAGUGCAAAAUUUUCAUGAGAUUAAUUAGGUUAUAAUUCAAAUCUCGUGCCCCUAGUGGCAGCCAAAUUUGAGUCCACUUCAUAUAUAUACAAAUUCCCAUGCACUUUAUCGUUCACAUUUGUAUUCAUAAGGUUGUGAAUCAUGACUAACAUGUCAUGAUGGUGUGACAUUGGGCUUGUAUUGUAGUAUGAUUUGUCUUGGAGAAUGUCGUCUCAUCUGCAUUGCAACAAUCUAAAUGCUCUCUUGAUCACAUUCUUAAUUUGUAGAAGAAUGCUUCAUGUUAUAAAAUUCUUGAAGAAUAAUUGGUGCAUUCCCUCCUCCACGGGAUAACCAAGAAUGCUUCAUGGAAUUGUUUCCCCCUCUUUACCAUGCCAGGAAAACAUUUGCAUUCGGGCACUCGACAUCACAUAUACGACAUUAUACAACAUUUAUCCGUUUCAAAUACUAGAAACUUAAGUAUCAUAUUUUAAAUAGGAACAAAAGGAUUAUUUGUUCUAUUAAUUUUAAACAAUGUGUUGGAUUUGAGUUCCUUAUUCUUCGCCCUUUUGGUUAUUCUAGUAUAUACCAAAUACAACAUAAGAUAUGUGAGAUUAGACUAAAAUUCAUAUAAUUGAUUAAGUAAUCUACCAUAACAUACAUACAAAAAUCCAUAUUUGAAGGUGUACUUAAGCAACCAUUUUUCUAACUUCUUAAUAUUGUACAAAAACAUAUAUAUAUGAGUGAUAGUUGUCAAGUAUAGACCACUACUACUACAAUGACAUACACAAAAAUAUUGUCAACUUAGACAUAUGACGUUGAAGUGAUUGACAGAGUUGGUCGCUUAAGUUAGUUUGCAUGGAUGGUUGUCAGAGGUGAUCACUAAAGUUGGUUGCUAGGAGGUAGUUGUUGGAGCUAGCCGUUAUCAAGAAUGGACAUCAAAGAUGAUCUUCGUUAGAGUUCACAACCAAAGUGGGCUUGUAGGAGGGGGUCGUCACAGUUGACACUAGAAUUAGUCGUCUGGGACUUAGAGGGAUGAAGUUAUUAAAAAUAUUAAAGUGGUUGAGUUAUUGAAAAAUUGGAGUGACAGAAAUAGUUUAUUUUAGUCGUUGUACUGAAAAUAGUUUUACUAUACCAAAACAGUUGACUAAAACAACCCUUAUUCUCUCUUAUCUUUAACACACCCAAAUGCUAUUGUGUUAUUAUAGCCCAUUUCAAAUUGGUGCCCUAAGUACUCCCAAAAGGGACAUUUGAGGUACUAAGUUAAUUGGUUAUAGUUAAUGGUUGUAAUAAUUCAUAUUUAGAGUCCAAACUAUUUUAGUAUGUAUUACAAUAGUUUAUGUUUGGCAUGCAAACUAUUUUUUAACUUUGAAUAGAAAAUAGUAAACAAUCGUAAUAAAGUGGUAACAAGAAGAUAAGUAGGAAAUAGUAAGUACAAUAAUAAUUAGUGAACACUAUGGUUGAGGAAUUUAUAAUUGUAACAAUAUAGAUAAUUAUAUGUUAUAAUUAAAUCUAAAUAUCAUUAGUACUCCCAUACAUGAAGUGAACUAUUACAUCUAAUUCAACCAACUUUAGGAUGGGGUUUGGAGGUACCCUUGAAAGUUACCGUCGAGGAUGCUUCUAGAAUACAUGUUAAGUAUUUAACAUCAAAAAUAGUUUUGAAGUUUAUUUGAAACAAUUUUUUUAUAUAUAAAGACAAAUUUUGUGAAGUGAUUGUAAGAGAUGACUAUAAAGUAUAAACUUGGAUGAUUGUGGAGAGGAUAAUAAUUGGAAAUUGUAAGGGUAUGAAAUGGAAACUAAUAAAUAACAAUGAUGACGUCUACAGAUCCUCAAUCAGUGGAACUAAAAUAUACAUAAAACAAAAACAAAACAUAUUAAGUAGGGAACUAUGCUUUUCCCCUCAUUUUAUCAUUACAUUUAUUAUUUCCUAAUUUUUCUUUCAACACCCCUGCAACAAAAACAACCGCAACAAAAUAUCAAAAUAUUUAUAGUUCGGGUAACAAAAACAAAAAGCUUAUCAAGUUGGUAAAAUAUUUUCAUAAAUUUCAAUUUUAUCUUUGAUAUUGCAGAUGAUUCGUCAUUUUUCUUUCUUCUUCUUUUUUGCAAUUUAUUCAUCUUCUCUUUCAGAUUUCUACAACUUCUCUUUCUUAUUUUAUUUUCUUCUAUUUCUAUUCAUCUUCAUUUUAUUUCUUCUAGCUUUUUUUCCAGAAUAUCGAGAUCGUUUAAAUCACUUUCAUAUAAUCUAAAUGAACGCUUACCUAGACAAUACGAUUGUUUAGAUUUGAAGUCAUUUUAUCAUCGUUUAAAAAAGGAAUACAAGAUCGUGUGUAUAUGAUCUAAACGAUUGCUUACCAUAGUCAACACGAUCGUUUAGAGCAGUCAACACGAUUAUUUAGAUUUGAAGCAAUUUUUUCCAUUAUUAAAAAGAACUACACGAUUAUGUUGAUACUACCUACACGAUCAUGUUGAUACUACUUACACAAUCGUGUAUCAUUUUCUACAUGAUCGUGUAUCAUGAUUGUUUAAAAGAAGAACUAUAUGUGCGCGUGUGGUCGAUUAAUCGUGUGUUGACAUGAGUAUUUUUUGUAUUUUUCAUUGUGGGCCUAUGGACUUUUUUCGUUCUUAAAAUUGUUCUAUACAAUGCAAAUAUUUUGUCAGUUUGUUAAAUUUGUAAAAUAAAAACCCAACAAUAAUAAUAAAAUGAUCUUGACAGUGAUAAUUAUUAUUGUUGUCGUGGUGGUCUCUGAAUUUGAUUUUAAUUCAAAUUUAAAUUAGUAAAUGUAUGUUUUAUGGCAAAUUAGAAAAAGAUCAUGCCAUUUACGCAUUCACAAGGUAGAUUUGGUAUUGUUAAAAGAUAUUAUAUAAUUAACUUAAAAUUAUGGUUUUUUUCUAAUAUAUUAGUUUAUCUACAAAAUUUUACAUUAAAAAUAAUAGUUUGUAGUAUACAUAUAAAUUAUCACUUUGAUAUAUUUAAAGUUAUAAAUGCAAAUACUAUUUUGUUUGUUUGUUCUUAUAUUACCAAAGAUUUGGACUAAGUAAUAAAAAAGUUAAUUGGAAAAUUCAAAAAAUAGUUUAAAAAAUAUAUAUUAAAUUCAAACUUAUUUUGUGUAAAAUGAUUCUUGACACGAGACUUUUGAAGAAAUUUAAUACGUGGAAUUAACUUGUGUUGAUGUAUUUAUGUUGAUUUGAUUCAAUGUGGUUCGAUCUCUAGUAUUUUAUCUUCUGAUUCUCUCUCGGUUGGAUAACUAUGUUGCUACACAUGAUUUGAGGAAGCAUUGCAUAUGAUUUUCUUGAAAUUGGAGCUUGUAUAUUCAAAUAAACUUCAAUUUUUCAGGGCGGUCAACUUUAAAAAUUGCCCCAUAAAUGAAGAGAACUCUAUAGACUUUAUGGGCUUAGGCUUAGUUGGUCCAUGGGCUUAACCACGUGGAUUUGGAUCGUAUUUAGAAUUUGAGCUAAAUUAAGCUUAUUAUUUUGGCUCAAUUGAACUUUAGUCCAAGUAAAUAAUAUUUAAUUUGACCAUAAUAAUUAACUUGAUCAAACAGUCACAAUAAAAACAUGUGGCAUUAUCAUAAUUGAUUAAUUUAUGUCUUCAAUUUCAAUAUAGGACACAUGUCAACUUUUAAUUAGUCACAAAUUCAAUUAUUCGUAUUUUUUUAUUAUUAUUUUGGUGAACAACGUGAGAAUUUGUGAUUGGUCCAAAAUUUCUUAUUCAACCGUGAUCUUUUAAAAAUGAACAUAAAAAUAUGAGUAUUAAGAUAAGAUCAAAGCUAGAAAUUGAAUUAGAGUAUAAGAUUUAAAUUUUUUGCUUUAUACUUUGGAUUAGUUAAGAUGAUGUCUAGGAUGGCAGCUUUUCAUUCAUUGAGUUAGUUAGGUAGAUUUUUUUAAAAUAAUUAUAUUUGACUUAAUCUUAAUUAAUUAAAAUUUAAUUUAACAAUAACAAUCACGAUAAAAAAUUUGUGAGAUACAACUCAAACCCUUUACUUGAAGCGUCAAAUGCCUUUUAUUGUACACACUAAGAAAAUAGGUCCACAAUGACUAACAAGGGACCGUGGACGUGAAUUCCUAUUUCAAUAAGCUUUCCCUUCUCCGGAAAGAGAUGGGUUUGUAUAAGGAAACAAUUUGGGACACGCCAAAUGACAGUAUAUAAGAUGCUAAAUUUGAAGAGGCUUACUGUACAUAUUUAUGAUUUUCUUACAAGUCUUAAUCUUAAACUUGAUACUGUUUGUGAUCAUAUACUCGAACAGAGACCUCUUCCCUUCCUAAUGGAAGUGUGUUUUAAAGUUCAUCUUAAAGAAGAUUGUAUUAAUGCAUGGGUGUAUUUACUACUCCUGCUAUUGACUCAGCUGCCUUUGGUGUCCUGUCCACGACCCAUGAUAAUGACAAUAAUAGUGAAAAAUCAAUCCAUGUUUGUGAGCAUUGUAAGAAAUAGUGACACACUAAGGAUCAGUGUUGGAAACUUCAUCGUUGUCCCUCAGGAGGUAAGAAACAAGCCUUCAACGAGAAAUAGAACAUAGGGCGUGCCGACGUUAGUGAAACUACCACUGCCAACAGCUCUUAGUCGAUUAGCUCUACUGCAGUCCAGACCAAGACUCCUACCUAUUGCUUAGUUAAGUAUGCCUCAUUAGAGUUGAUGGAAAGAAUUCCUAGAUUUUAGACUCGGGGGAACUACAUACCACUUUAUAGGUUCUUCGGAGCACUUUAUCACUUACACCUCUUUUACCAGUAAUGAAAAAAUUCAGAUAUCGGAUGACUCUUUAGCCUUGAAUUACUGGAAAAGGACAAAUAGUUCGCUUUGACGGACUUGCUCUCUAGAAUGUUUUACAUGUGUCUAAACUUUCUUACAAUUUGCUAAUCAGCAAGAUCACUCGUAAGUUGCACUAUAAAGUUAUCUUCUUACCUGAAUCUAUUUGUUUUCAAGACAUGAGCUCGAGAAGGACGAUUAGCAUUGUCUGGCAUAGCGAAACUUCACAUUCUUAAUGAUAAUACUUUUGGUAGUAGUAUCUCUAGAGUUAGUUUAAUGUUUUCUAUUGUAGCACUUAUGAACAUGAUUGUAUGUUAUGUGGCAGUUUCAGUUGGGUCACCUAAACUUUUAUUAUAUGAAGUAUUUGUUUCCUCGUAUAUUUUCUAAAAUUGAUGUCUCAUCUCUAUCUUGUGAUGUGUGUAUUCGGACAAAACAACAUCGAGUUUUCUUUACCUCACAACCAUAUAAACCCAUACAACCUUUCACCCUUAUCCAUAGUGACGUUUAUGGUUCAUCCAAAGUCACUACCUCCUCUAAGAUACGGUGGUUUGCAACUUUCAUAAUGGUCAUACCCGUCUUACCUAGGUCUUUCAUAUUGUAGCCACCUAAUUUUGUCCGGCCUUAUUUAUAAUUAAUUCAAUUGCCAGAUUAAUUUUUUCUUAAUUUGGCUAUUUUUUAUUUUGUGAUUAACCAAAUUUGUAAAAAAAAAUGUUAUUUAAUUACUUUUAAAGUUUUGUGGGUAGUUUGGUUAGAGUAACAAGUUAGGUGGAGAAUUACUCAAUAUGGUAACUUUUUGAAAUUGGUUUUGUUAAUAAAAUCUUCAUGCCAUUUUGAGAUGAAUGCUAAUGUUGAUAUUAUUUUCAAAUUAAAAAAAAAAAAAAAGCUAGCCAUUUGAAAAAGCUAUUUUAGCUAUAAAUAAUCUCUUCUUCUUCAUCCAUAAGAAAAAAAGACAAAAUAAAGAAAAUGUCACAGAAACAAAAAAAAAAAAAAAAAAAAAAAAAAAAAAAAAAUCCUAGAAAUUUUUUCAACAUUCACAUCCUCUCUUAGCUUCUUUAUCUAAACCUCUAAGCUCCAUAGUCCAACACCUUUAGCGGACUACCCAACCUUUUCUUGCGAAGACUCUUUCUCUUGUGAAUAUUUAGACUUAUAGGUCCUACCGCAAACCCUUCUUUUCUCAAAAUUUUUUUGGAAUUAACUUCUUAAUCGCAAAACUUAUAGUUUUUCGGAGAUUGAUUCAAAUGCCAACUUCCUAUCGAGAAACAUUACUUCAAAAUGCCCCUUCUUAUCCAAAGCGCAAUUUUUGAAAACACUUAACUAGAUUUUUCUUCUUAUACUUAAAUUAAAAACAAGUCUCACAGUUAAAGUCCUAUUACUUGUUGCUAUCAACAAAAAUUAACCUCUAAACCAGCAGGAUGUUAAGAAUGUCUUUCUAAAUGGAGACCUAGUGGAGGAAGUCUACAUAAGUCUCUCCCCUCCCCCCCAAAUAAAUAAAAAAAAUAAAAAUUGAAGCCUAGUUUGGGUAGCAAGUUUGUAAAUUUCAAAAAAUUUAUACGAUCUGAAACAGUCACCCAAAGCGUGGUUUGAUAGGUUCACUAUCUUUGUCAAGUCUCAAGGGUACAGUUAGGGACACUCUGAUCAUACCUUAUUUACAAAGGUUUCAAAGACUGGAAGUAUUGCAAUUAGGAUAGUGUGUGUGGAUGACAUCAGGCAUAAAUCAAUCAACUAAAGCAGAAAAUGAGUGAUGAAUUUGAAAUCAAGGAUUUAGAAAAUCUAAAAUAUCUCCUUGGAAUUUAGGUAGCCAAAUCUAAAGAAGGCAUCUCACUAUCUUAGAGAAAAUACACCCUUGAUGUGGUUCUGUUGACACUCCUAUGGAAUUCAAUUGUAAACUAGGAAACUUUAAUGAUCAAGUUCUAGUUGAUAAAGAACAAUAUCAAUGCCUUGUGGGUUAUUGAUUUACUCAUCUCAUACUUGUCCUUAUAUUUUCUCUGUUGUGAGUGUUAUCAGUUAGUUUAUGCAGGCAGCUCCCCAUAAGGAACACAUGGAAGUUGUCAACAUAAUUUUAAGAUACUUGAAAACAACAUCUGGUAAAGCAUUGAUGCUUAGAAAGACAGAUAGAAAAACCAUUGAGGCAUAUACUGACUUAAACUAGGUAAGAUCUGUUGUUCACAUAAAAUCUACCUCCAUUUAUUGUACCUUUCUAUGAGACGAUCUUGUAACUUGGAGGAGUAAGAAGCAAAGUGUUGUGACGAGAAAUAAUGCUAAGGUCGAAUACCAAGCUAGCUAAGAGUUUGGCAAUAUAUGAGAAAAUUUGGCUCUAAAAUGUCUCAUUUGAUCUUCAUCUAGAGUGUGAGAAACCAAUGAAGCUUUUAUUUGUGAUAAUAAAGCCACUAGCAUUGCUAGCAAACCCGAUUCAAUGUGAUAGAAUUAAACAUGUUGAGAUUGAUUGGCAUUUCAUCAAAGAAAGACUUGACAGUGGGAGCAUAUGAUAGUACUAAAUUGUACAUCACUUCGAGCCAACAGGUUGCUGAUGUUCUCAUCAAAGGGCUUCCCAGACCAAACUUCGACUUUUGAAUUAGCAAGUUUGGCCUAAUUAUUUACACCCAAACUUGAGGAGGAGUGUUAGAAUUAGUGGACUUGGCUCAUAGGAUGUUUAUGGAAAGAUUUACCCUAAAUCUUUUUUCCUUUUUUUUUUUUUUCUCUUUGUGUAUUCUAUUAUUCUCCCUCAUUGUACCUAUUGUAAAUUUAUCAAAAAAAUAAUAAGAACAAAACUAUCGUGAUUUUUUUGAUACUUGGAUUGUCGUGUAAGUUUGUGUUUCGUAUCUUAUUACUUUCAAUAUAUAUCACAAUCCAAAAAAUAGAACAUCUUAAUUUAUAUUUAGUGACAACAAAAAACUUUUGGUUUAGAUCGACUUUGUUUUUUUUUAUUAAAAAUAAAAUUGAACCAAAUAUGUACAUAUAUCCUUAAAUAACCUUUUAAAUUUUUAACCCCAAGUCUGUUUCAGUAUUUUAAGUAUUAUAGUAAAAUGAUCCAUUAAUAUGGUGUGUUUAUAUUUAUUUAGGAAAAGUACAGGAAAAAAAUCCAAUUUCAAUCCAUAAAAAAGAAAUAUGUUCAAUUCAAAGCAAAGCCGAAAUAAAAUUGAAAAAUUAAAAAGAAAUGAUUAACCAACUCGAUAAUAAACGAAACUUAAUAAAAACCGAUUAAUUGGUUUCUUUUCUUUUUAUGGAACAUCAAUUUGGUUCAUUACUUUAUAAAAACUUAUCGAUUUAGUUGUUGGUUGGUUUCAAAAUCAGAAAAACCCAACUUCAACUUUCACCCAAAUCUAAAAGUUAGAUGAGGUGCAGAGUGGUACACAUCAACCAUAAGAAAUUUUAGUACCGUAAUGAGUAAGAAAAACUUGGAUAGUCACAACAUGUGAACUCUUAUAUUCUCUCCAUGUGGCAUAAUUGAGUUGAAAGAAAGAACUAGUGGUAGAAAAAGUUUUAGUACAACGCUACUUAGUACAUAUAAUCUCCACUAAUUAUUUAGCACGUCACCACAUAAUUCUUAAAAACUUUAUAGAUGACAGUAUGGAAGAAUUUUCAUAUAUAUUACCGUUGCACUAAAAAAUUUCUCAUCAUGCCACGUAAUUUACAUUUAUAUAAUUUAGUGUAUACAAACAAAACGCACAAAACAUCAUACUAAACAUAAGAAAUAAUACAAUUUCAUAAGAAAUAAUACAAUUUCAUAUGUGUACUUAACUGAAACUAAAUGUAUGGAAAUAGAAGAGUGGAAAAAAACACAUAUUACUUUUGACAUAAAAGAUAAUAUGUUGAUCUAUGCAGGUGGAGAAGUAUGAUAAUACUUUAUAAAAAAGGGGAAGAAAAGAAAAGGAGAGUAAAGGGUAUAAGUUUGAACUCUUAGCUUUCUAUAAGUUCUAGAGAAUAAAGUUUUAAAUAGAUUUGAGAGGUUGCCCAAGUUGUAGUCAGCUUGGAAAAUGACAUUAUAUGAUUUUACUUUUGGAUUCUACUUUUCAGGUUUUCCACCAGUAGAAACGUUGUAACUUUUAUUUAUAGAAUAUAUUUUGCAUCCUUCAUAUUCCUCACAUUAAUCUUAGUUACACCAUAUAUCCUAGUUUCUAAUUAAUUAUACGUUGAAUAUGGAAGCUAGUAGUUAAUUGCUUUGUUUUAGGACGUUGGCUAUUUUUAAUGGAAAAAAGAAAAAAAAAAUUCUUGUUAAGAUGAAACUCACCCACGUCAACUCAACUAAAAGAGAGUAAAGACAAAUUCGGUGGAUUAGAUUGUACAUCUUUUAAAUUUUAUUCUCUUUCAUCAUCCUUAAUACACUUUUACAAUUAAAUAAACUUAAUAUACAUUAAAUUUAAGGAGGAUUUUUAAGAAGACAAAAUAUUUAUAACUUUCAAUAAAUUCUAUCAUGGAUAGUAAUUGAUAUAAUAUAGUAAUAGAAGAAUAUAGUAAUAAAAUUUAAAAUUUUAUUAUAGUUUGUAAAUAUUUUAAUUUAUUUUGCUAUUUUUAAAAAUGCCCCUAAAUUUAAUUAACAUUUUUUUUCUGUUGUCCUCUUUUAAAAUUUCUUUUCUUCUUCAUCUCUUAUCUUCGUUUCUUUUUCUUGGUGAAAGAUCUAAACGAUCAAUUGUCUAUCUUAGAUAGACAAAGAUAGAUCACUAUCACCAAAAGAUUGUUUAAAUUUUGGUACAAAAUUAUUUUUAAUCAUUUUUUCACGUGUGUGUGAUUGAAGGGUAUUUUUGUUAUUUCAAGUUGUGGGUUUUUUUAUUUUCAAAAUUGUUCUAUAUGAUGUAAAUAUUUUUUGCAUUUUAUUCUACUUUUAAAAAAAAUGUCACUAAAUAAACUAUAUAACUAGUUAUGAAAAAAUAAAAAUAACAAAGUGAGUGUUGGAGACUUGUUAAACAAACCCAUGGAUCUUGAGUUUUUAGUUUUGAGCAUGAAAAUUAAAAUAGUUUUGAUCGAAUACAAAAUUGUUUAAAGAUUUGUCAUAUCUUUGGAGUGACGCAUCAAAUAAUUUAUUGCGAUACAAGCAAAUCUUUCUCUUUUCAAUAAUCUUUACUACUAUAUAUGCUUCAAUCCAUAAAUUAUAAAAUAUUUGUAUAACUUAUUAUUAUUCUUGUUGUUUCAUUCUACUAAUAUUGUAAUUGCUUUUGUAUAUAUUGUUUUAGAAAUUUCUAUUUUCCAACCAACUUCUUUUAAUAGAGUACUAUAAAUGUGAUAUAUAAUGAAGAUUAAUUUGACUAAUACAUUAAUUCAAAUGUCAAAUAUUUAGUAGAUAUAAUUAAAGUAAAGAUAUAUUAGCUGAAUAUCAUAUUCCAUAUUGAUUAGAUAAGUGAUUUAACACAAUAAAAGUAAAAAGGAUGGAAUUAUUUGUGAAGAUUGGUCCAAAAGAGAAUAUUGACAAAUCUUCAUUGUCUCAAACAUACUUUAUUUUAAAAAAAAAAUAAAUCUAUGGGUUAAGCUAUCUAUUUAAACUUCCACCAGCUACAUUAUUUCUUGAAAGAAAAAAACAAUUAAUGUAUUUUUCAAACCACUACUUUCCAAUAUAUAUAUAUAUUAGGUUAUCUAAUUUUCAUUUUGACUUAAAAAAUUAAAAAAAAACAUUGAAUAAUAAUUAUUUAUUACAAAAUUGUUGAAAUAUUUAAUAUAAAAUAGAGUUUAUUAAUUAAAAAAAGAAACAAAGAAAGUAGUAAAGAAUUGAAUUGAGAAUGCAAAAGGAGUUACGAGAGAAGUUUGAUUGAAUGAAGGUAUGUGAUGAUGAUAUUGUAAAACAGCUUGCAUUUUAUUAUUUGUUUGAGUUUGAGUUUGACUAUUUAAACCAAGUCGUAAAUAGCUGCAUUAUUAAUUGUCCUUCAACCUAUCAAAACUAUACAAAAAUCUAAUAUAUAAUAAUUUUUAGUACUAAUUAAAUAUUAAAUAUAACUCAACUUGGGUAUAUAUUAUGUCGAAUUUCCAUCUUCUGUCACAUAACAAUCUCUUACUCCAAACAAAAAAUUGCCACAUUUUGAUGCCAAAAUCUCCCCAAUCAGAAGAAACUAAAUAUAAAUUUUAAUGUGAAAUAAAAUGAAGUACAAAACCAAAUUAUAAGUUUGGUUAUUAAAAGUGGCCUUGCCAAAUUUCAAAAAUAUUUUAAACGAUAAAUAAAGUAUUCUUAGCGAUAUCAAUAUCAAGAAUUUAAUUUUACGAAAUACAUUGAAAACAUAGUAAAAUAAUAAGAUAGCAGUCUAUCAUAUUAAAUAUGUAAUAUGACGUAUUAAUAAUAAAUAUUUUAUAUAAUUUAAUAAUUUGUCGUAUUCUUAUUCAUAUUAGACUAAAUAUAUGACACACUUUUUUUUUUUAAUGUUUUGCUAGUACUUACAAAAGAUUUUGGAGAUAUUUGAAUAUCGAUUUUAAAUCCUUUUAUUUUUAUUAAUAUAGGAGGAUGAAUAUAUCUCUAAAUAUUUUAUUUUUUAUUUAAUAAAUUGCUAACCUACCUAGUUUUGUUUAGAAAUCUCAAUUUCAAACUUGUCAUAAGUUUGUGUUUUCUCAUAAAACAUGAAAUUUCAUAUUCUUUUCAUGACCCAUUUUCUUUUUUAAUGUCGACCCUGGUAUUUAUUCUCGAAUUUAUUGCGUUCUUUAAUCAUGCCAAAGUGUUCAAUCACUUCAAUUGUUUUUAAAAUGUUUGAUAUUUAUUUUCUUUUUCUCUUUUCAUGGAAUAAUCAAUGUGUCCAUCAUCCCAAUUUUGAUAUUACUAUGACCAUUUGUUAUGAGAUGUUAUGCAACUUUUCUUCUUUCUUUUGUGUUAUGAUAAUUAGGACUUCUCCCUUAUUCUAAACUAUAUUGUAAAGUUCAUCAUUAUAUAUUAUGGUCUUACAAAUUUGGCCAUGCAUUUUUUACAACACAAACCCAAAUUACUACUUCUAACCUAAAACAUUUUAAACCAUUUUUACCUUUCAAAACUAACUUUAAAAAGUUUUUGGAACAUUUUUAAAUAGAGUAAAAUAAACCAAAAUUUAAAUUCUAUAUAGAAACCGACAAUAAAUUAAAUAAAUUUUUUUAUUAUUUUUGAAAAUAUUUGAUCAAUUUUGUCAUUUUGUUUAUAAUUUUCUUGAUCUUAUAUGAAUAUCAUAUUGUUUUGUAAUAUAUUAGCUCGUACACGUACACUAAACUUAAAAUUAAGUUUCUAAACACUCUAAUGGUAUUUAUUUAACCUAAAAUGGUUAAUACUGACACAUAUUACUAAAUUUUAUACAUUUAGAUGGUUGUAGUUAUUUGUUUACAAAUGAGCAUAGACCACACAACAACUUGCACUACCUAUAUUUAACAUAUGCAGUGUUGUUAUAUCAAGAUUUUGUCAUCAUAGAUUAAUAAUUAAUCUUAAAGGUAAGCAUAUGAUUCAAAAUCGUCAUCUACCAUAUAGUAGUUGAAAUCUAAUAAUUCAUAUACUAUAAUUAAAUGAUAGAGACAAAAUUUAUAAGAUUAACUUCUUAAUUUCGAUAUAAAAAAAGUAAUUAAUUUAACAAAUUUCAAAUGAAGAGAUCAACAUAGAAUAUAUGGUUUAAUUAAUUAGAGUAAAAAUGAACCCAUUUUCCCCAAUAUUUUUUUGUCCCAAAACAAUGAAAGGUUGGCUAAUGGGGUAGUGCUUUUCUUUUAUACUUUUUUCUUUCUGCUAGACUAGACCAUAUAUAUAUUUUAAUUAGGGAAUAAUUAAAUGCUCAUUAAGCAUCUUAAUGAAUAAUCACUUUAAACUUUUGACAAUUGGUGCACUCCACUUAGAGCAUUCUUCUAGAAUCCUCAAAGGCAAAUUAAAAAAAAAAAAAAAAAAGGAGAAGAAAGUUACUAUUAACCUUAUAUAUUUAAUUAAUUAACAAAUUACUUAAUUAAUUAUUUUAGUUGGUGUCUCUAUGGCCCAUCCCUGGCUAUCACUCUCUUCUAACAUUAAAUCAUAUGGAUUUAACUCAAAUAUUAGACAUUGCUCUUUUUUUUUUCCUUCCUAAUUUGUAGUAUGAUGGUGGAUUUUAAAUUUUCAUUCCUAAGGAUUAAAUUAAUUUUCAAAUUCUUUUUCUUUAUUAUUAUUUUUUUUACCUGUUUGCUAAUAAAAAUAAAUUAAUAUUUAUGAUUUUUCUAACUUUUAACUAAAAAAGUUGAGGAAUUGAAUUAAUACAAAUAUAGAAAAUUAUUCUUUCUAAAAAGUAUCAAUUUUGAGUAAUAUGUUAUCUUUGGCACGAUGUUACUUUAAAACUUUAAUACUUUAUUAAUGAUCUUUUAAUGUGAUUUUUCAAAUAAAUAAAUAUAUAUAUAGUGAUGAAAUAAGUAAAAUAUUAUAAAUAGACACAUAUCUUAACUUAGCUUGGAUUUGAUGAUUAUAGAUAAAUUAUAAUAUUUUAAACAUUGCUCGUUGUAUUAAACUCUCAAAUUAAAGAAUAAAAAGUUAAAACAAAAAGGUGAAUAUUCAAAAAUGAUAAAUUUUACAAAAUAUUUACCACAUAUAGUAAAUACUAUAAGUGAUAAUCAUUUAUAUGCUACAAUGAUAAAAGACUAUGAUUGAUAGAAUCCAAAAUUUUGGUAGGUUGUAAAUAUUUUAUUUUUUUAAAAAUGUUCUAAAAAAUUGGGUGAAGAAAUUUAAAAUAAGAAAUUAUAAAUAAUUGAAAAGAAAAAAAACUCUUAAUUUGUAAAAAGAAGGAAAAAAAAAAAAGAAAAAGAACAUUAAGUAAAAAACAUUAAAAAUAAAUAAAAUUGCAUAGAAAAUUGCUUUUUGUUUUUAAUAUAAAAGGUAUAAGACCAAAAACCAUAUAACUACACUUAAUCCAUCAAGAUUUUGGGGGCAACUAUUUGUUGGGCUACCAAAACUUACUAUAUUAUAAAUUUGGAUGGAUCAAAGUUAGUUUAGUUAAUUCUUGUUGUAAGGCUGCAAAUAAAGUAUUGUUAUAUAUUGAUAAAAAGUUUUUGUUGGUUGGGAUUGAUUGAAUAUACUACAUAUGAGAGGUGAAAUGAAGGUUUAGAAUACAUAUAUGUUAGCUUAUAGUUGUAGGAAUUAAAGUAAAGAUAUAGGGAGAUGAGAAAGAAAAAUGUAGGACCAAAUUAAAGAGAAGAAGUAGGUGUCCAAUUAGUUUGCAAAAUGGUCCCCAAAGGCAACUACAUAAAAAGUGUACCACAUAGGAAUAUGACAAAUCAAUUUAACUUUUCCCAUUAUAAUAUUUAUGGAGUGUAGCCUAUGAUAACCACAACAAUUCACUAUCACCCCUACAUUGCUUUUUUUUUUUUUUUUUAUUCACUCACUAACUUUCGUUUCAUCUUUUUCUUUUUUUCUUUCUGCUACCUAUCAAAUCUCUCAUUUCUUUAUUUAUUUCCUUUUACAAAAAUAAAAAUUAAUCGCAUAUUUUUUUAAAUAGAUUUUAACUUUCAUUACAAAAAAAAAAAACUUAUUUCUGUAAUCAAAGUUUAAAAUAUUCAUUUCAAUAGCUUUUAUUAUCUUAAUUAUUCGAUGAAAUGUUGAUAUGUCUUAUAUACAUUCAUGAUUUAAAAUAUCAAAGUCUUAUUUGUAUAGAAAUUUCAGUAGAUUUUUGAAAAAAUUAUAAAAAUAAAUUUCUAGUGUAAAUUUAAAAUUAAUAAAUAGAUAUUUUGUUGUUUUCAAAUAAGUAAACCUAUGUAUAAAAAAAAUUAUUAUUAUUUUUGUUUUGUGUCUCAAAAUUUUCUUAGAAUAUAAAAAAUUUAUCGAUUCGACCUAAGAAAACGUAAAAAUAUGGAUAUAUCGAUAUAAAUUUAAUAUUAAACUUACAAUUAAGGAGAGAUUAUUUUUUAAAUGAAUUUUUUAAAAGGGAAAUGAAAUUGAAAAAAAAAAGGGAAAGUUUUAUGACGUCAGAGCUGUCCCAUUAUGGCGCCAUCAUCAUUGAAGCCUACAAAAACUUUGUUUCCUAUGAAGAAGAUGGAACCCUUUUUGCAAUAAUUUAAGCCCUUUGAGGUUUACAAGUCAAUAUCAAACCAAAACGACAAAACAUUAAUUUUAUAUUUCUUAUUCAUUCAUUUGCCUUCUAUUCUAUUUUGCUUUCCCUCUUUCAUUACAAUUUACCUCAUAAAUUCCUUCAACUUUUACCCUAAUCUACCUAUCUUUGAUAAUUUAACUUGACCAACAACCAACUAUAUAUGUGUUUAUUAUUUCCCAAUUGUUUACAUUUUUAUUUCUCAACACUUACUCCAAUUAUCCUUCUCAUUUUGUAUGUUUUUUCCAUAUCAUGGACCAAGGAAUUUUAGUGCUAGUAUGGUACCAUAUGAAAACUUAAAGAUAAGAACGUCAUGAAUGGACAAUACAUGUUAUGAUCCAAAGUUUACAAUGAAAACAAGUACCAUUAAAGUGCAAUGAUCAAGUAGAAUUUAAGAAAACAAUCAAACUUCAUUUAAUGAACAAAGACUUUAAGCCUACUAAAAUGGGGUUUCAUACCUCUUGAAUGUUAUCCAAAAAUUUAUGAUGUAUAUUAAUUGUAUUUUUAUAUAUAAGUCUUCUUAUUUUGAUAUAACGGUGGAAUCAUGCUCACAAUUUGGAACAUUAUUACAACUUUUGAAAUGUCUAGCUAGUCUAGUGAAAUACCUAAAGUUUUACCUUAAAGGCUAUAGAAACGUAUGGAAAUUUGUGUUGAUCAGAGAUGGAAAUUUGUGUAAAUGCAGAAGUUUAAUUUGGGUUUUGAACCUUGGAAACUUUUUAAGCUUUGCUUUUUUGUGUAUUAUUGUGGUAAAACAUAAAUAAAUGGAGCUUUUGAGUGAGGUUUGAUCUAUGUUGUUUGUGAAGUAUGGGCUGAUGGAAGUUUUAAGUAAUAUGUGUAGUUUAGUCUAUAACUGGAGAUGAGAUUGAAUUGAUCAUUUAGAGGUUUUGUUGCAUAGCGUUCAUGACUUCUUUGAGUUUUUUUAGUUGUUCAACACUGUUCUUCAAGAGUUUCUUUAUCAUAUGUAAAUAGAUUUAUGUUCAUAUAAACAACAAAAAUAAGCCAACAAACUUCCUCAUAUGUGAAAUUAAAAGUAAAAGUGUUCCGUAAUUGUUAAAAAACAAUGAAAAAUUCAAAUUCAAGAGUACAGUAUUGAAUUCUAAACUCUAACAAUUCCAAGAACUGAUAGGACCACUUAAAUAAAUAAGAUAAACUUCCUCAUGUUAGUAGAAAAAACAAUAUGGCAACCACCAUUUUAGGCCUUUUUAUCAAGUUUUUCAAAUUAAAGGUUAUCAAUGAUAACAACUAUUAUCGAUAUAUGUUAUCAGUUGCUAUCAUUAAUAAUUGCUAUUAGUUGUUAUCAUCGAUAUGAAUGUUUUUUUUUCAAUUUUCUCAAAUUGAAAGUUAUCAUUGAUAGCAACCAUCAGUAAUAGCAAUUGAUAGAUGCCAUAAGUAAUUACUUUACUAAUUGAUUCUAUUAGUGAUAAUUUUUAAUUUGAUAAAUUUGUUAUAUGACUGAUACGAUAUCUAAUAUGAAAAUUGACAGCAAUUAAACUGCAAGACUUAACAUUUUAGAAAAUUUUACCACUAAAAGGGUAAUAUAUAUUUUAAUUUUUUAGAAAAAGAAUAGAGUUUAUAAUUUGAAAUAAUUUAUUUUUAAAUAAUUUAUAUCUAUUUAAUAUAAUUCUCCAAUUUAAAAUUUGAAAUCUAAAAUAUAGAUACAAAGAGAACAUAAAAAAAUAUCGUUAUACACAGUUGCACUAUGUAAACCACAGAAUUAAAGAACAACUUAAUAUUAGAAUAUCUAAAUUGUCUUCCAACUACAUAUUUAAUGAACUCAAUCAAUUGAAAUUGCAAACAAUAGAUGCUCUUGAUUUUUGAAUAUAUAAGAAAGAAAUUGAUGUGAUAAUAGAUUUGACAAGGUUGAUAUUGAUGUGCAUGACAUUCAUAUGAAUCAGAGCUAGACUUACUUUAAGAAAAAUGUAUUUAGUUUGGGUGCAUGCAUGCAACAUUUUUAGAAUAGACAAAGAAAAAGUUAGUUUGGCCUCUAAUUUGAUUUUUUUUAAAAAAAAGUAAUUCAAUUUUGACAUAGUAAGCUGGAACUACUUAAACCAAUAAAGUAAAGUGUAUUUCAUAACUUUUAGAUUUUUCUUUGCUUCAUUUAACUAAGUGGUUUUCUUUAAAUUUGUGAUUCAUCCCUUUUAAAAUAAAAGAUAUCAAUCAAAAUUGAAAUUUUUACCUACUUGAUUAUCUCAAAAUUGAAAUCAUAAGCUUUCCAUUUUGAGUUUGGUAGGUUAUAAAUUUUUAUUUUAUAUUUAAAAGAUAAGAUACCAAUUAGACACAAAACUAAAAUCUUUCCAAAGAUAAAUCUAAAGCUUAGUUAAGAAGUUGUUAAACACUUACAAAAUUAUAUACAAACACAAAAUCAAAGUUUCAAAGUUUAUUAUACAAUUCGUUAAAAGUUAGCUUAAGGAUCUAAUAGUCCACAUAUAAUGUUACAAACCUGACCUUGUAAUUUAGGUCUGCUUGAUGAUGAUUCCAAUUUUAACUUUUAUGUUUUCAAAAUGGAUGGUUUUUUCUUUCAAUUUCUUUAUCAUGGUUUUCACUCAUGUUAGAAGAAACUUUGAAUUCCUAUUAAAUCCUAAUAAAUGAAACAACAAAAUUUAGAAACUAAGAUUUUAUUAGUUUGUAAAACUUUUGCUUGAUCUUUCUAAUUUAGGAAGAAACUAAAGAUGGGUAACAAAAAGAAAAGAGUGUUUAUAAAUUUAGUUUUUUUAAAAAAAUAAAAAUAAAAAGUAAAAAGUUAAUGUUUAUUAUUCUUAACAAAAAGAAACUAAAAAUAGAGUUAUCCCCAUAACUUCAACUUUAAAAAGAAAAACAAAUCUGGACAGGUUGAAUAAUCAAUCCUUUCUCACCUUUUUAAUAUUGUCUUUUUCUUCUUUUUCUCUUUUUCUCUUUUAAUUUUUAUUUUUGUGAGAUGAUCUUCAUGAGAAAUAACAAUAAUUCAUGUCUUUUUCCAAGACCUUUCAUGGGAGGUGGGAUCCAAUAAAAGUUUUAAUUUAUUGAAAUGCUAAUUUUUAUGGUUUUGGUUCAAGAAGGACACACCAACAAUAUUAUUAAUUAUCUUCUUUUUUGUAGUUUAUAUAACACGCAAAGAAUAUUAGCUUUGUGUAACAAAAGGUGGUACAAAAAAUGGCUGUUGGAAUUGGAUCAUCGGCCCAAAUUUUCACAAAACCUUUAUUGCUUACUGCUUACUAACAACUUUUUUGCUGUUAUUUUUAUAGGAAAAUUAUGGCAAAUACUAAAUGAAUCUGAAAACAUAACACAACUGCAAAUACACUAAAUAAUAUCGACUAAUCAAUUUGUAAUUUCAUACAAACUUAGGUCCAUUUUGUUUGGUUAAACCAUAAGCAUGCUUAACCAACAAGCAUGAACCUCAUUGGUCAUAACUCAUAAGGGAGGUGGGUUAUCAUGAAGCUCAAAAAUUGGGCAGUGGAGAACAUUAUAUAUAUACACACACACAAAUUUGAAGAGAAAGAUGAGCAUGGUGGUGAGCUUCAGUUUGGUGUAAGAAAAGAUUAUGUGAGUUAUUUCUUUCCAUUCAAUGAGGGUUUUGUAAGCCUUGUAAAAGUUAUUUAUGAGCAAUUUUUUUCCAGAGAAAUCAUUAAUGUUUUAAACUCUUUGUUGUUUUUUCUUAUUAUUUUAGUAGAAUCUGCAUUAGUAGCAGAGAACUGGAUGUAACUCACACUAACUGAACUAAAAUAAUCUAGGUAACAUCUCUCUUUCCUUAAAUUUGAUUUGUUUUCUUUCUGUUGUUGUUGCUUGAAAGGUUAGGUUGGUUUGUCUAUUCUUUUAAGCUAGUCACUUACAAAUUGUUUAUUCCACAUAAUUUGGAACUUGAAUUUGAACUUGGAUUAUUGGAUAAUAUGUAUUGUCUUAUUUUUGUUGAUAAUUUAGACUGUUACGUACUAUUAACAAACUUGUAUUAGAUGACAAAAAAAAUUAGAAAAAAACUGCUCAUAACACCUAUUUUUUGUAUAUUACAAAUUUGACAAAUAUGACGGAAAUAAAAUAAUAAAUAGAUGAUAAUUUAAUGGUAAUGUAUUUUUAAAUUUGCUACUUUUGUAAUUUUGAAAAAUGUAAAUGACACGAGCUCUAUUAUCAUUUUUUUUUUUUUUUUGAUAUUUUUACAAACUUUUCCAUACUAUUAUCUCAUCCUUGAUGGUAGCUCAUAUUGAAAAUUAUCAUUGAUAGUAGGUAUUAGAGAUAAUAACUAAUAACACAUAUUUUUUUGAAUUGAAUUAUGUAAUUAAUUUCUUGUAUCAAACAUAUUUAAUUUAUCAUUUGAUUUCGUAAUGACUAAUAUUUUCAUUUCAAUCAAUUUACUACAAAUUUUAUUACAUCGAGUAAACCAAUGAAUAAAUAAUAAUAAUAAUAAUAAAACUAAAAAACAAAUAAAUAAAUAACUUUUUGUGACGUCUGCGCCACAAAAAUUGUCCACGACGUAAUGGGAUUGUGUGCAGGAGAAAUAUUUAUGUGGCGUGGCAGCGAGCUGCAUUGCGAAAAGUAUCUUCGACAGAUGUUUUGCGACGUUGCUGCCGACGUCGUGUGCGGCGUCGUGGUAGCUUUUCAUGACGUUGUUUUAUGUUUUCGACAACAUUGAUGUGGGUUGAGGAAGAGCGAAUUUAUUAUAGUGAAUUGAUAGUAGCUAUAUCAGUGGCUAUCGUUGAUAUCUACUGUCAUAAUUAGCUUUCCAUUUUAGAAAAACGAGAUGAAGCAUAGAAAAUGGUGGUUGAUUGAGUGUAAGAUUUUUAAUGAGUCACUAAUUUUUGUACUAUAAAUACAAUUAAAUUAUUUAAUGUUUGUAGUAUAUAUGCAAUUUUUUCUUCUCACUAUUUUAUCAUUUAUGCAAUCCGCCUUUGUUGGUAUGGAUAUAAAUUGAGAAUGCUAAAAUGAAGGUUGUUGGUUUCACAAAAAUUAAAAAAAAUGUAUUUUUAAAAAAUUAGAUUAAUAAAUUAUGUUGAAAUGAAGUUUAUAAAAAUAUAGAAAUAUGGAUGAUGAUAAGGAUAUUGACAACAACAAAAAAAGAUAGUAGGACGAUAGCAAAUAUAUGUUUAAACUAAUUUUCCAAUUUGCACAUAAGUCCAAGGAGAUUGGUUAACAUGACAUAACCAAUUUUUUGAAAAAUAAUAUAUCGUUAUAAUAAUUUUACCAAUAAUAAUCAAGUAUAUAACAACAUUAAACAAAUUUACAAGUAUAAUAAAUUUUUAUUGCUCUUAAAUUUUUUAGUUUUUAAGUGAUAAACUAAUAUUUAUUAUGUGUUCUAUGCAUAAUAACAAAAUAGAUGACAAAUCAAGAAAUUUAAAUAGAGAAAUAGUGUUAAUAGUCCUAAUUUUCGAAAAUCAAAUGGUUACCAAACAAUGACCUAAACAAAUUAAACCUUUUUUUUAAUUAUUUUUACACCAUAAUUAUUUUACAUUUUCUUUAGUUACAUUAUAAUUUAAACUUUGUCAUCUAAAAAAAUUAGAGGAGUAGGAGGAUCCCUUCAAGUACUUUACACUCUUUAUAUAAUAUAUAUAACUAAAAAAGUUCCAAUACUAGCAGAUAGCUCGGUAGUAAAACUAUCAUACAAUUUUAUAAAGCCUCCAUGAAUAAAAUUUUUAGAUUACUUAAAUUUUUAAAACUAAAAGAAAUGUGAUGAACAUUAUCUAAUAUAAUUGAGUAUGAUAUUAAAAAAAUUCAAACAGCCAUUGUCAAAAUAAUAAUAAUAAAGGAAUAAUUAAAUAAUUAAACCAAGUUGAAUUGGAUUAUAUAAAAUUAUUAUUGUCGAUAAAACUUUUCCCUAUUUUCUGCUAUAUCAUUUCUGAGGGUAAAAGUACCAAAUAUAUAUACACAUAAACACGUUGAGGCAAUAAAGAAUAAUAAUAAAUAAUGACAGCUGUAAAGAAAUUGAAGGAAAUACCUCAUUGGUUAGAGAAAAUAGGACUAUAUAAGCGUGGAUAACAAUUAAAUCUCAUUAAGUAUAAGCAGUGGUGGAUCCAUAAAUUUUAUCUAGGGGACACAGAAUACUAUAUAAUAAACACACUAAAAAUGUUUAAAAAAAUAUAUCGACGUUUUAAUGAUGUUUCAAUAACAUUUACUACAUUUGUAGCAAUAAAAAAAAUACCGACAACUUUCACAUGAUUUUUUUAAAAAUGUAAAUAUGUGGAUUUAAAAUUUACAUACAAAAAAAAGAAAAAAGUAAUACAUUUUUCAUAGAAUAUUGUUGAGGGAGUGGAAGUUUGGAUCACCCAUUUUGUUGCUUUUUUUUUUUUUUGUUAGAUAACAAAUGAGAUCUAGGAAAUAAGAUAGGGUUAUAUAUGAGGAUUUUUUCCUCUUUUAAAGAAAUUAUCUUCCUUUUGGGAAAUCAAAUUAUCUUUCUUUCGCAAAAAAAUUAUUGGUAUUUGAAAGAAAAUCUAUUUCGUAAAAAUAAUUGUAGUAAAUGAGAAUUGAACUCAAAACCAAGAGGGCACAACCACUACAGUAGAAGCAAAAUUUAUGCAAAGUGAAGCUAAAUUUAAUAUAUAUUGUAAUCUAACAUUUCAAAAUUAAUAUUAAAAUACAAAAACUGGUAAUGUGAGUGGGGGCAUGUGCCCCUAGCCUUUUAAUAAAUCCGUCCUUGAGUAUGAGGCCUUUUGGAGUGGUUUCAAAAGCAAAACUAUGAAUACGUAUAUUUAAAACAAGCAAUAUCAUACUAUUACGAAGAUUUUCGGAGAGUUCGUUGUCUUAACCUAAACAAACUUUUUGUUUUAGAAAAUAUGGGUCAAAACUUAGGGUUAUCCAAAAUUGACAGCAAAACUCAAAUAAUUUUGUGGAUAUGUUUUUCUUUUCAUUUGUGUAUUCCCAAAAUGGCAGUGACUUUAUUGUAAAGUUUUAUUGAGUUUUUUCACUAUAGAUUCUUCAUUUUUGAAGUAAUAAUCCUCUUUCUUCAUUUUAGUUUAACUUUUUUUCUUGAAUUAUUCUGUUAUAUAUAUAUAUAUACAUAUAUUCUCCUUUUUGUGUAAGUAAUGGCCACCAAAAUUCACUUUUCUAGUUUGCUAAACCCUUUAUUUAGAAUUGGAAUAACUUCCCUCCAUUACAUUUCAUUUUUCAUAUAAUUAAGUGAAUAAGUAUCUUUUCAAUUUUUGAGAUUAUUUGCAUAAUUUUAUUUGUUUCAUACAAUUUUUACUCAUUAAUAUCUUAAUAAUACCCUUACAAAAAUUUCAUUAGCUUAUUACUAAUUUAAUUAAUAUAUAAUGUCAAUUUAUAUAAAAAAAAAAUUAAAAUAGGUUAUAUCAUUUUUUGAACCAAAUAAAUAUAAGCAGUAAAAUAAAAUAAAAUUUUAGAUUUUAUCACCAUGUCUAUUCGUGUAUGAUAUUGAUAAAAAUUUAAAAUUUGUUAUAUUUGGUAAAUAUUUUGGUCUAUUUUAUAAUAUUUUAAAAUUUAAAACUUAAAUAUAUAUUCUCACAAACAACCUCUUUUAACAAAUCAUGAUGUAACAAAACCAAAUAUAGGUUAUGAUUUAUAUGCAUGGAUUUUCAUCCUAAUAAAAAAACAAAAUUGAAAAGAGUGUUUUUCUUUAAAAACAAAAUUGAAAACUAAAGAGCAGAAAGAAAGUUUUCAUCAAAACCUUAUUUUAGAAAAGAAAGAAGAAGAAAAGAAAAGAAGAAAGUUGGGGAAAGGGAAAGGGAAAGGGGGUUUCACUAUCAAUAUCAAUUAAGAGCAGUGACAAUUAGGAUUGUCUUGAGGUGAGUGAUUCUGUGGAUGAACACAAUUUCACAUGCCCUCUACUGCUUGUAAUAGCUUUAUGAUAAUUUUAAAUAAAAAAGGAAAUGAAAUAGGAUUUUGUUAUUUUAUUUUCUGCUUUUUGUUUUUCUUAUUUUUAAUAAAACUAAUUUUUCAAAAAAUAAAUAAACAUUCCUUUGGUGCCUCAAAGUCAUAAAAUGGGGUCAUGGCCUAAGAGAGAUCAGCCAUAGACCCCAUUUGGUCAACUCAAUAAUUAGUCAGGUGGGUCAAUUUGUUUCAUUAGGUCUAAAAGGUCUUGUUCAUAAUCCAAUUCAACACCCCUUUUUUUCUUUUUCUUUUUUUUUCUUUUUUUGUCUUGGUUUUUAAAAGGAAAUCAAAUAUGUAAUUUUAAACAAUAAACACUGUUUGAAAAAAUAUAUAUGUUAACAUGUAUAGUUUUAACUUUUUUUUAUCUUUAUUAUACUAAAAGAUUAAUAUUUAAAGUACAAGUUUGAUUUGGACUAAUAAAAAGAGAAUGGUAGUAUUGAAAGGGGGCAAAUUUUGUAGUAAUUUCUUGUGUAACAAAAACUUAAACAAAUCUAUCUUUUUUAUAUAUGUAAAUCGUAAGUCAAACUUUUAAUGCAUUUAAGGAAAAAAGAAUACUAAUUCUCACAAAGUAAUCAAAAUUUUAUUGGCUGAAACAUAGUAUGGAUGGACUUUCCUUAUAUAAGUCAGUGAUUUUUAAGUUUAGUAAAUUUAUUGACAAAGUAUAAAAUGUAAUGAAUGAAAAUGGUUGAUGUACAUAAUUUCAGUUCUUUCGAAUUCAUUGGUCAAGUAAGGACGAAAAUUUGAAACCUUUGACGCCUAAUCAUUAAAUUAUAAACUUUGACGCUAUAUUUUAAACGCUUAAACUUUCGUAAAUAACAAAAUUGGGUCCCUACUAUGUUUCUUGUUGUCUCCCUCUCUAUUUUCUUCCUCCCUACUCAUACAGGUUUGAAGGUAAUUGAUAUGGUUGUAACUUUAUCAUAUUGUUUUUUAAGAACUAUAUAUAUAUAUAUUCCUCGUCAAAAAACAUUGGAUGAUCAAUUAUAUGUUGCUAACUCUUCAUUCUUAGUGGUCUAAAAAUAAAAACAGAAGAGAGAAAAAUCAUCAUUAGUUAUUGAAUAAGUGAAGCUUAAAAAAAUUAUUCCAAAAUGAUAACCUGCAGACAAGUAUGAGAGAAGAGUCAAUAUGAAUUAGAUAUUUGAAUUGAUAAGAUGUUGGUUUUAUCAUUUUGGCUAUGUUAUUAGACCAAAUUUUCGAAACAAAAAUAAAAAGGACAAAUUAAUUUGUUAAAUGAAGUUAAGUUUUAUUGAUUUCAAUAAUAUAUUGUGGUGAUUAUAAUCUCUAAUAAAAAAAAAUUAUAUCUUCUCUACAAGGUCGUAGAAGAAAGUUUUAAAACGUUCUAAGUGUUUUUAAAAAUUCAGGUUCUAAACGUUCGAGAAUUUAAAAGAGAAGUGUCUUCUAAGUCUACAGUUAUUCUGUUGUCGCACUUCGUUUUGUCUCUCACGUCUCGGUUCGUUCGUCAAACAAUUUAGUUUUCUAAUCAGAACACCAAAGAUAUCAUUACUCGAACAGAAGCGGCAAAACAGAAAACAAGUUAAUUUAUAGCUAAGUCGUGGAUCACCAUCUCUUUAAGACGUUUCACGGCUCUGCUCUAGUUGUGCAAAUAGUGUGGUAGCCCCAUCAUCCCCGGAAUAAAAUAGCUUCUCAGUCUUUAAUCGAUUUUAUACCGAAACCAAUUGAAAAUUAAAUCACAACACUCAAAGACACUAUAAUGCUCGGGAUACAGAAAACGAUUUUGGAGAGUAUCAAUUCAUGAGAUUUUGUUUUUCCAUUUAGGUGAAGAAGGGGAUGCAUAUAUAUGGGUGGAGAAAAAAUAACGGUCAAAAGACAAACGGUCACAAACAAAUUAAUGACCACGAUUUACCAAAAGUUAAACGGUUAAUAAAGAAAAAGUUUUAGCAAAAAACAUAUAUGUAAAUUAUCUCUCUUCUCCUCGCUCAUGGAGACAUGGACAUAUCCACAUUUAUCUAUCUCUUUCUUCAUUCCAAAACUUGGGUUUCUUAAGGGUCCAAAUCCAUGAAUCAUGUCGCAACAUGCUCGCGAUGCGGAGCGUCCGAUCUCCCUUGUUUAUUUAAUUUCAAUAAAUAAAUAAAUUUGGAGUCGCCACCAACUAUGUUAAGGUGUGAUUGGUCACCCAAAGAAAAAAAAUAAAAAAGAUGUCUAUGUAAAUUCAUGAGAUUUAAGUUCAAGAAUAAGUUGUAUAAGGAAGGUGUUAGCACUCUACAACACCUAUAAAAUGGUUAUCCAAUUUUACCUUUUAAACUAAAUUAAAGGUUCACAAAACAAAGUUUUUAUUUAUGUUUUUUUUAAAAUGUCUCAUGCUUAUCGAUUCAUAUGGAAGAAAAUAAAACUUAAGCAUGAAUUGAUAAUUAUGGGUGGCACGGUAGCCAUUAGAAAAAUGAAGUUUAUUUUUGUUUCAAAUGAUAUAUUUUUUUUAUAUUCACCAAGAAUAUUAAGAUACCAAAAUUUGAUAAUUUAAUCUCUAUCAUAGGUGUCUAAUGAAAAAUUUAAUGUAUCUAAGAAUUAAUAAAUUAAUGUAAAACACUCCGUCCCAUUUAAAAUAUGAAAUGUGUUUAUAAUUUUAAAAACAAUCUAUUAAUUAAAUUUCAAAUGGAUAAAUUAUAAAAUCCAUAAAAAAACAAUAAUUUUCUCCAACUUAGAUUUUUAUAUUUAAAUUAAAAAAUAAAUAAUAAUAACCACAAAACAUUGUGAAAUUUGAAAAAUACUUUAAGUUAAUAUGUUAAGAUAAAAUAAUACAGAUAAAAUAAAUAAAUAGAUAAUAUAAGAAUGAUGCAAAAAUAAUUAAUUAAUGCAGCAUGAUGCAAAAUAAUUAAUUAAUGUAGAAAGCAAGAUGUCAAAUGAAUAAUUAUUAACACAAGAUAUCAAAUGAAUAAUUAACGCACGAUGUCAAAUAAUUAACCAUGCCACAAUACUAAUUAGGCCAAAUGGAUAUUAGGACAGGAGGCCAAAUGGAUGUCAAAUCUAUAAUUAUUAACGCUGAAUAAUUAAGACAAGAUGUCGAAUGAGUGUCAAAUAAUUAAAAUGAGACAAAUAAUUAAACCACCAAAUGGGUGCCAAAUAAUUAAAGUUGGUCAAUGCAAAUAAUUAAUGCAGGAUGCUAGAUGAAUAAUUAACACACCAAAAUGUGUGCCAAAUAAGUGGCGCGAUCCUAUGAUGCUAAUUAAUUAAUGCAGAUGCAAAUAAUUAACUCAAAAUGUCAAAAUAAUUAAAACAUAUGUCAAAUGAGUGUCAAGUAAUUAAAGUAGGUAAACAUGCUAAUUAAUUAAUGCAUGAUGCAAAUGAAGAAUUAACACGUUAAUACAUAUGCAAAUAAUAGCCAAAUAAUUAAUGCACGAUGCCAAGAUGCUAAUUAAUUAAUUAAUCAAAUGAAUAAUUAACACAAGAGCCAAAUGACUGGUUCAAAUGAAUAAUUAACGCAUCGGCCAAAUGGAUAAUUCAAAUGAAUAAUUAACACACCUUGGUGUCAAAUAAUUAACUGUGCAUGACACUAAUUAAUUAUCACACUCAAAUGGGUAAUUCAAAUAAAUAAUUAACACGGUUAAAUGAGUGUCAAAUAAUUAAUGGCAGAAUCAUCAAUCAUGAAUUAAAAAAAACCACAAUAAAUUUUAAGUCAUAGUAAUUAAAUUAACUUAAAUUAAAAAAAAAAAUCUUACAUGGCAAAACAAGGGUGCCUUAAAUCCAAUAAAUGCAAAGUGUUUGUUUCUUGAUCCUCUCGAAUUCUUCCAAAUGAAAAGUUUUUUUUUUUUACAAUAAAGUUGUACAUUUUCUCUAAAAAUUUCAACAUCCUCCUCCGAAGGUUAGAUCAUUUUAUUUUUAGAUUAGUAAGUGAAGUGAAAGACUACGGAGAAAAAGUGGGAGAAUGAGAGAAAGUAAGAGAGUGGAUGAAAGUGGGAGAGUUGGAGAGUAGGAGCGUCGUGACAAUGAAACAAAAAUAGUGAGAUGGUCAAGAAAAAUAGGGGGAAAAACUUAUUAAUUUUCAUUUUUUUAUUUUGUUUUUGUUUUUAUUUUUUAGUUUUUAUUCUUCUUGUUUUAAAACAUAUAUUUAGAGAUUAGAUAUGUAAUUACUACGUCGAAAUUAAUUACAGACUCACAAGAGCAUAAUACAUAUUAAUUACGUUGUGGAGACUUAUGAUAAAAACGUAAAUAUUGAAAUAAUUACGUUAUACGAAGAAUGUGGGUAUUUUGGCAUUUUAUGAAAUACCAUACACAUGUGGCACUCCCGAAAUCACGUUAGUUGACACUUUAUUUCUUCAAUCCGACGAACAUCCAAUUAUAGAUGGAAAACAAAGUUGGUAGAAAUUAUAAUUUAACUAAUAUUAUUCAAUCAAAUGAAAAUGUUUUGGUUUAAAAGUCUUUUUAAACACCAUUAAUGCAAAGAUGUUUUUAAUUUUAAUUUCUUUACACUAUUGUACCAUUACAUGAAUUAAUGGUACUAAACUAAUUAUAUAUAUAAUGUUAUAUUUUUAGAAUAAGUUAAUUUAAAUUUAAUAAGAAACAUUGAGAUACAAAUUAGUGAAUUCUCGCGGAAACAAAAGAGGGCAUAAAAAAGAUUGAUAUGUAAUCUACAUUUAAACAACUGUUAUUACUUAAAGUUACACAAAAGUAAACACAGGUAAACAUUAUAGUGUAAUUAUUAUUGCAGAUAUAGAAAUAAAAUUUCAAGUAUCAAUAUAAUAAAAUUCAUAAGAAAACAAAUAUCAUAAGUACUUACCACAUAAAAUUCAUAAAUAUUUCAAAUGAAAAACACUAGUUGAAUGUGUAAAAUAAAUAAAUACCCAAGUUCAACGAGGUAUUGGAUUUGUAUAUGUCCUUAAAUUGUAUUGGAUUUGAUGGACAAAUGGAACAUGGUCGACAACAGUAGAAACAUAAAUUAGAAAAAAAAGGAUAACAACCACGACACAUCUUUGUCUUCGAUAAUAGCAAUAACAUAAGGAUUGCUGCAACAUCACGAUAUAAUGAAAGUUGAAAAAUUAAAUAUUCAAAAGAGGAAAAAAAUUUAGAUUGAAUUAGAUAAACAAGUUGAAUGAAAGACAUGUUGAAAGGAGCAUCAAUCAAAUGGAAGUUAAGAUGAAAGAUUGUUUUCAUCUCAUCUACCAUUGAACAAGACCCAACAAGUUAAAGAUUCAAAUUUCAAAAAUAAAUUAAGAUCUAACAAGAUUUUAAUUUUCAAUUUAUUAAGGGUUAAAAUUUAGUGAAGGGUUAUUUUAAAAUAAAAACAAAGGCUGAGAAUCAGCCAAUAAAAAAUAAUAAUAUGAUUAUUUUAAAAUUAAGAGAACUAAAGUUUUAAAAUCUUCGACAAAAUUGUUAAAUUUCAAGAUAUUAAACUAAAUUAUCUAGAGAGACUUUUUAUAAGAGCACAGAUAUUGAAACAAUUAUAGUAAUUUAAAAAAAUAUCAUAAUUAUGGUAAUUUAAAAAAAAUAUCAUGCACGGGCCGUUUUUCAAAAUGGUCGCUUGGAAACAAGGUUAAAUAUCUAAUUAUCGAACUUUUAAGGUUGCAUUUGAAAAUAUGGGGAAAUGGAAAAAAACCUCUCCUAUAUGCGGCAAUCUUUUCUUCAUUCCAGAAUUGCCACUUCAAGAGUAUCAAAAAUGUCUUGAAAGAUGUAACCAUAUCUUUGGUUAGGAGUUUUAGUUUGAAACUUCAAAUUUAACAUCUUUGGAAGGGUAUGUUAUGUGUGUUGGUGUCGGGCAGGAAUAAGAGAAUUGAGAUUUCAUGGAAAGCUGAGGAAGACAGAGAGAAGGGGAGAGGAGAAAAAAUGACCUAAUUCUUUCAUUUUCCAAAACAUUUAACACUUUGAAUUUCAUAGUCAAAUACUAAACGGUCCAAAAUGUUCUCAAUUAUCACAAUUGCAUAACCAAGUAUGUGGAGGGAAUAAUUGCAAUGAACACAAUAUUUCAGGUACGUUUGUGCAGAUAAUCCCCUUCUUAAAAAUUUAUCUCCCAAUUCUCAUAAGAUAAUCUUUUAAAAUAAGUUCGUACAAAAAAAAAAAAAAAAAAACCUUUAUGUUACUUUGUAAUGUCAGUUGAGGUCAAAGAACUCUCAGCUCCUCAACUCAACUUGAAUGAGAUAUGGCAUAUCCCAUUUUGUUCUAACUAAAACUACGCAAAGUUCUGCAAUAAAGAAAUCAAGACAUAGAAAUUUGAAAGCAUCAAUGAAUUUGCUAAAAAGACAAACGUACAAGUUUAAAGGAUGGUUGUAAUAGGUAGCACUUUUAGAACUUAUAAUUCUUCUUACAACAAUAUUUUUAAAUAAUUGCAAAUAUACCAAAAUAUAUAAUUGAUACAAUCUAUCACAACUACUAGUGAAACAACAUUUUGUCAAUUGCUAAUUGCUAAUGGAACUAUUCUAUUAGCAAAUAGUCGGUCCAUAUUCUUUCUAAAUUUUGUCAUAUUUGUAAAUGUUUUCACAUUGUGCUGUCUCCAUGCACACCUUGUGCAUGGUUACUAUGCUUACCACUACAAUCAAUUUUAAAAAAAGAAGCACGACUUUUCCAAUGCUCAAAAACACACUUCUUUUUACACCUAGAAAGUUAUUCCAAAUAGAAAUAAAAGUUCAAGUAGCUCACAGCAAAUUCAUCUCUACCAAGGGUUGAUGAUGCAAAAGAAACAUCUUCAAUCAAACAAUAUGCUAUAGAAACGAACAUUCGACUAAGGUUUAAAGGGAAAAAAGUUAUGUCGCUUGUGGUUUUCAUAUGAGCUAAGAGACUUUAAGAGAGUAUAUUCCCCUAUUACCAAAAACGAUAUUGAAAAUUUAGGCUCAUCCUGUUUUGCUUCUAAAGUCUAUUAGAAAAAGAUAGUUCAGUUUGCUAGUAAUAGAAAAGAAGCAAGAAAAAUUGAAAACAAUUACUUUACUUGAAAGUUAGAUCCCCCCAUUAAAGAAGGCUUGUAUAGGAAAUCACUUGCUCUUUUUUGGUUCUCUAGCAUACUCAUCGAUCAAUGCUUCGACAUCUUUCCAGAAGAGUCCCUCAACUAAAACUCCAUCUUUAGUAAACCUGCAAGAUAAUACAUUUUUUGUUGGUAACCGUAAAGAAACUAAGAAACUAGACUCCAGAAAUGGAGAGAAAGAGAGACCAGCGGGUGACACUCUUGGUAAAUUGAACUUGUUCAUUAGCGGAAAUCGAUUUGGGAUCCGAACUAGAUAUGGUCAGCGUGUACAGAUCUGAGAAUCUGGGCAGUUUUGAAGAGACUAUCAGCCCAGUGCUGGUGAAGGAUCCCUGUAUAGAGAGAUUACAACACAAGAUUACAAAUGACCUCAAAAGGUUUAGCAUGCAUGCAGUUUCAGAAAGCAUUGGUGAAGUUGUAAAGUUCAAACAAAUUGCCCAGAAUUCCUAAAUAAUAUUUGUACAUGGUAUCAUUCUAUCAUUCUUGGAAAAGAAAAAAAGGGAAAUGUUAGCCUCCCUUCUUCCCAACUCCCAGAUUCCAUAGGUAUCCAAAUAAAAAAAUUCCUCAUUAAUACAAGACUUUAAAAGAAAUGGCUAAAUAAUUCCCAAAAAAUUAUAAAUUAAAAAAAAAAAAACUGAAGAAAAAAAAAGGAAAAAAGAAAACCUUUCAAAUUUCUAGACAUGAAGAAGCAAAGAAGUUGAUUCUUCUAAAAUGUGCUAGUAUAUUCAGAUUUCAAAGACGUUAUAAAUGAGAGCCACACAAAAAACAAACCCACAAAGAAGGAAGCUUUCUAUACAAGAAGGGACUCCAACUAUAUGAAAUUGCCUAUAGAAUAGUUACAAAAGGUCCUUGAAAUCGAAGCCCACAAAAAUAUAUGAUAAUGAACUAAGAGUAGGGACCAAAUUUCCUUAGAAUUCCUCUCCAAUAAUCACCCUACUAUUCACCCUACAAGACCCAUAAGAUCGCACACACCCUGGCAUCUCCAUCCACAAGCUGAUGAAAUUGGAAUAAGAAGUUCAGUUAUUCAAGAAACACAACAUCUAUGAAAAAAACUAAAAGAGAAAGAGAAUAGUGUUUAGAAACCAAUUACCCAAAUUCCAAUAUAAAAAGGAAAAGGUAAUUGUUCAGAACACACCCAAGGAACCCAGUUCUACAUUAACUUGAAACUCGAAAUCCAUUCAUAUUACAAAAAACUAUAAGAGAGGUUUUGUCAAGCUUUUUCUGAAGUCAAAACUCCAAAUGCAAGUUAAGAAGGCCUUUAAGUUGGGAGUAAAAACAGCAGCUUUCAUUGAUAAAAAAAAUGAUAAAAUAAAUAAAGAAUACAGGGGCACCCUUUGUGCAAAAUAGUAUCUUUAGAAAUGUUGCAAAAGAUAUUCAGUAUCCAAGCCGAAAAAGAAAAACAAAAUCUAACAAGAGACAAACCAUCACUAGAGUCCUCCAAACCUCUAAUACUCCUCUCUUCCCGAAGCAUAGAUUAACGAAAAAACAAAAGAAAGAAAUGUAUCACUACCAAAACUUAUACAACUUGUGGUUUUUUGAGCUGGUUAUAUUCAGAAACCCUAAUAUGUAGCCAAUAGACAUUAUAAAUCAAUAGUAAAAAUAAACAAUGCACGAAUAUCAUUUCUUUUUCAUUGUUUAUAAGAACUUACAUUGAAAAAAAGUGAAAGAAUAUACGGACAUACAAAAAUCAAGCCCACAAAAAAAGGGGACUCCCUCUACAAGAAGGGACCCCAACUAUACAUGUCUAGAGGAUAAUUACAAAAAACCUUCAAAAUUGAAGUCCAAUAAGAAACAUGAAAUGAACAAGAGAUCAUAUUUCUAUUGCAUCCCUCUCAACCCCUCUAAACAUGAAAAUGAAUAUCAUAUAUAAUCAUGAUGUUAAUGCUUUAGAUAGUGGUCAUAAACAUACAAACGGGCUAGAAAACAGGAUUGUUCGAAAAGUUGAAGGAACUUACUGCAGGAGGAUACGUGAACAAAAUUGCGUUCUUCUCCUUGGUGUAAACAAUAAACUGCAAGAUCCCAUUAAAAACUACAUACUUGCCAGAGUUAAAGAUCACAUAAGAGACACCACCAACGAUUUGCAUUCCACUAAACGAAAACAAAACAUAAAAAACUAAAAAAUUGGAGCAGGGUACAACACAUUUCAACCUUCGAAAAUAUCCACCAUUUAAUCCAAUACCCAUUCCCAUCGGACACCAGUAUCAAGAAAUGAAAUUCAAUCUAUCAACAAAAGAUCUAAACGGUAAAAAAUAAAUAAAUAAAUAGAAAACGCGAUUCAUUAAAAAAAAAAAAAAAAGGAUAUAAUAUAAUGCAACCGAUCAAGAAGUCGCGAUUCUCAGGGAAUUUCUUUUUGUAAAAUUGAGCGACCAAAGCUAUGAUGAUGAUGACAGUGCCCAUAAUCAAUUUGACAUUACUCAACCUGACGUCUUCAACAUAGCCGCGAGUGGUGACAAUCUGCAAGGAAAAGGCUCAAACCUAGAGUAAAAUUGAAGGGAAAAGGAAAUGGAAUAAAGAGAUUGAAUUACCUCAGAAACAGAUUCAUCGAGUAGGUGUUUGAGAGAGUGAUGAUCCAAGAGAUUGGCCUUUUUAGCAUUUUUGGACGCCAUUUUUUGAAAUCUUUUUGGGUUUCAGUUCUCUUCGCCGUCUACGAAGGUUUGUCUGAAAUCUGAGAAAGAGGAGACUCAGUCUUCUUCGACCCUUUUUUUCUUUUUUCUUUUUAAUUAUAUUUUUCUCUCUUCAAUUUUUAAUAAUUAAUAAUUUAUUUAUUUUCUCUCUACUUAGUAAUAAUAUAUUUCCUUAAUUUGCCCAAUAACCUAAAUAGUCCUUUUAUUUAAUAAUUUAAAUUAGGUCGGAUUUUUUUUAUUGAGUUGGGUUUGAAAAAUUCGGUUCAACUCAACCUCACAUGAAUUAGUGAUAUUAUAUAUACUUAUGUUAAAUUUUAUACUAUGAUACUUCGAAUGUUUUUACAUUUUAGAAGUUUGUAUAAAUGUUGUACUUUAUAUAUGUUUUUGGAUGGGAGAAUUUAUGGAUAUGAUGUUAUAAUGAUAUGAAAAAUUAACAAAUAUUAAGACUGAAAAAACCUAUACAACUCGAUAACCUAAUCCAAUUCAUAUAUUUUCGGGUUGGGUUGGGAAUGUUUAUCCAAUUAUUUGGAUUACCAACUCAGUCAAUCUAAAAGUCUGAAUAGUUUCCAAAAUACCCUUCAAUCCAACGGGUUACACCACUAGUUCAUUCCCUUCACCUCAAUUAGUUUCUUUUAGUACAACUUAGCCUGAGGGAUGUGAACGACCUCUAUCGUUAGAUACAUACAUGUGUCAAUUUGGCUUCAAAACAACCUUGAAGAGUUAUGAAAUUAUUUUUCUUUUUUUAAAAGUAUGUAUGGGUUAUAAUUCUUUUAAAGAAAUUCAAGUAAAAAAAUAUUUUUUUUUCUAACCUUUCAAAAUAUUACCUAUUAAUUUUUAAAUUUUGAAUUUAAUUUCAAUUUAGUAGUAACUUUCAAAACGUUUUCUCAAGAUUUAGUUUUAUUUCAAUUUUGUCUUUAGGUAAUUAAUUAAAUUUCAUUGUUUUUUUAACAAUAGUAAAAUUAAGGUUUAAAUUCUGUUUUGGUCCCUAAAUUUUGUAUCUUAUUCUAUUUUGGUUUUUAAACUUUUAAAAAGUGUAUGUUUUAGUCUUCGAACUUUUAAAAAUGACAUAUAUUUUGGUCUUUGCCCUUAAGAUUCGGUCAACUCUCUAAUGGAAUGGUGAUAUGACUUCUAUAUUUGGAUGACAAAUAAGAUAAUCACUUUUAAUAAUUUAAGUUUUAAUUUCUAGUUAAAGAUUGGUUGAUUCAUUGUCUUCUAGAUUUUGAUAAGGGUAGGGAGUCACUAGCAGAUGUGAGAGAUUUAAGUUUUGGAGAAAAUAAACAAAAUUAUUUUUUAAUUUGAGUUUGUUUAAUUCAAGUGUGUUAAUUAUAUUUCUACGUUGGCAUAAAAACUCAGAAUAAAUUGUCAACAUUUUUGGGUUAUUUACCAAUUUAAUUAAUAUAAUGAAUCUAAAUUUUAAUCAUCAAAUUAUAGAAAGUUACGUUCUCAUUAUGGUAAAGAGUUAAUGGAAUUCUAACGGUAGUGACCAAAUUUUUUUUUUAAAAAAAAGUUCGACAACUAAAACAGACACUUUUUAAAGUUCAAAGACCAAAAUAGGACAAUAUGCAAAAUUUAGGGACUAAAAUAGGAUUUUAACCUAGAAUUAAUUUUAGGACUGAAAAUAUAAAAGUAGAACAUCUAGUGAAAAUCGAGGUUAACCGUGAAACUCAAUGACCAAAAUUGAAUCAAAACUCACAACUUAAAACAUAAAAUGUAAUAUAUUGAAAUCGAAGGUACCAAAUAGAUACUAAACCCAAAACCAAAAAAUUGAAAAGGUAGAAUCUGUUUGGUAACGUUUUCGUUCUCUGUUUCAUGUUUCUUCUUUUUUUUUAGAACAAUAAACAUAAAUGUGUUUGACAACUGAUUUUUUGUUUCUUGAAGAAAAAAAAACCAUAAAUAAAAAAUGUGUUUGAUAACUAUUUCUUGUUUUCUAAUUUUCUUCAAAUUUUUUUUUUUAUUUUAUUCACAUCUAAUUCAAUUAAACAUUACAUCACUCACUUUAUCAAACCUAGAUAGAAAAGAUUUCUAGUAAUCUUAUGAAGAUCAAGAUGAUUUAUUGAGAUCGGAAGGACAGAACCGCGCGAGGAGGAAGAUGAAAACCCAUGAUGAAGAGGACGAAUGAAAUGCACGGCGAAGAGGAAGACAAAAAUCCAUGGCGAAAACACACAUUUGACAAAAAACCCAAAAAUUCAGCGAAAACUCAGAUCUUCACGAAGAGGAAGAGGAAAACUCAUAUCCAACGAAAAGGAAUACAGGAAGACGAUGAGAGACAAGGAAGAAGAUGGCGAAGACGAUGAGAGGAAGAGAAAAAUGAUGGCUAUUUGGAGAACACGAUGGUUAUUUGGGGAGGAUGAUGGAGAUAGGAAGAAGAAAAAGGAAACCACGUGGAGAGUAGUUAUUUGGGGAAGAAGAUGAAAAUAAGAGGGAAAAAAAUAGAAUCAUGUACAAAAAUGGAAAAAGAAAAGGAAAUAGAAAAAUAAUUGAGAUAAAAAAAAGAAACUAAUAAAAAUAAUUGAAAGACGAAGGAGGAAACUAUUUUUUUCCAAUAAUUCUUUAUAAAAUAGAAAACAUUUUUACUUUUUUUUAAAAACGAAAAACAUGAAACAUUGCCAAACACUUGUGUUUCUUUUAAAAAUGAAAACAGAAACAUAAAACAAGAAACGAAAAUGUUACCCAACAAACCUGUAAUUUUUCGUCUCCCUAAAUUAAAAUAAUGUUACGAAGAUAAAAAUAUUAAUGUCAACAUCGCCAUCGUGAUUUUGAUUUUACGAUAGAAGUUUAGGUUAUUGAUAUCAUCUAAUAUUUUGGUAAAUAAAGAAAUUAAUUUUAGAAAAAUAUUAAAACUGAUAAACAAGUUAGUUUUUACUUCCAAAAAUAAGUUAUAGAUCUUAUCAUUAGUAUUAAGAUUCACAUUUGAGAUUUUCUUUUUCAUUACAAUAUUGGUAGGAUAUUCAUUAAGCUAUGCUUACUAAAGUAUUCAUAUUAUGUUGAGAUUUAUUAUGUUCGAUGUGAUGUAAAAGAUAGUUAAAUCCUCCCCUUUAUGGAUAUAUAACAUACUAACAAAUAUUUCAAUCCCAAUUUGAUGUUUAUACUACAAAAUGAUUGUGGUACCCAGAUUAUCUCAGUACUUCAAAUUUUUAGAGAUUAGUUGCUAAAACAAACUCAAUUGAGCUGCGCCAUACACAUUAAAUAGUAUAAUUGACCUAAACUUUAGUAAGAAAAAUCUACUUUUAAGAAUAUUUUUUGUAAUAUGGAUGUGACUAUAUAAUAAUCUCUAAACACUAUAAUUGACCUUAAGCAUAGGCCACUCCAGUUUAUAACUAUGAAUCAAAUAUUUCUGCUAUAGCAUAUUGUUAUAUUUCAAACAACAACUUGCAGCCCAAAUCUUAUGCCUAUUUCUUUUCUUGGACACAAAUUUUCCUAAUAAUUUCAAAUAAGGGUUUGGUCAAGAAUACUAUACUAGGAUGAAUAAAAAACAUAAAUUUCAGGCUUGGAUAACUUCUUAAGAAACCUGUAAUGGGGUCAUAUAAGCAUUUUAUCAGAUCAUUGAGGCUUUGAUUUUAUUCUGCCAACGGGACCCUUGGUGAGAAGGAAUCGAGCACUUUGUACGAGUUCUUCCUUAACCAUGAACAAGACAGCAGCAGCCAGAACACUCUGGACGAUUUUCGUGCCCAUCCCUUUGUAAAAUCCAUACAGUCCUUCGUAUCGGAUCAUUUUGAGAAUGGCGUCCAAUGUGCCUGGAUAAAAAGUGAAAGAUCAAUUAGCAGAACCAGAACAUUGGUAACUUCAACCAGAGAACGAUGCAGAUGGAUACAAGUAACAUAAGAAAUUGGGUCGAACAGCGUUAGCAUCUGCAGAGUGGUUAAAACGGCUAACUGGGCCAACAGACUGACCAUUGAAGGUCAACUAACCCAACGGGUGAUUUGCCCAUUUUACUUUCUAAGACUCCUCCAAAUAGCUUUUGGCUUUUAGAUUUUUUAAAUUGUGUUUGAUUUCUCACGGUGGAUUUCAUCUUAUUUUGUUAAACUCUCAAAUUCCAAAAACAAAAGCAAGUUUCUAAAAGUAACAUGUCUGUUUCGAAAAUUAAGUUUAUGGCACCCUUAUUGGUCUCAUAAAGUUUAUGGCCACUUUCCCUUAUUGAUCUCAUUGUUUUGUUGUCUACUAAGGAUUGUCUUUAAAAUCCAAGUCAUGUUACAUAAAGUGAUUUUUAAAAACUGUUUUUGUUUCGUGAAUUUGGCUAAGAUUUCAAAUAUUUACAUAGGAAUUAGGAGAAUUAAAAACAUGAAGAAGAAAUAAUGAGAAAACAAUAAAGAUUUUUAAACAGCAAAAACUAAAUAGUUGUCAAACAAUGUCUAAUUUUAUAAAAAAACUUGCCUUGGAUUUUUGAAAUAUCAGAUAACAGAACAAAUAGUUAUCACAGGCACAAUGGCCAUAGCUACACUGCAUAUAUCAUGUUUUGCAGCUUUUGGCCAUCUAUUGGAAUGGAACACUCGUAAUUAAGCGAAUUUCAGCUAAGCUAAAGGCAAACCAGACAACCCUUUAAAAGAACAAGCCGCAGUCAAAACUUGUGAAACACAGCUAUUUUUACCCUCCCACAAAUUUUUAAUGGUGGAUGAUAGCAUGUCCAUAAUAACAAGGGAUUUAUACUAUGAAUCCAAACCUUUAUACUGAUGUCUUUUGUCUCCCGCUACGACUUGUUUUGCUUGAAGCCUAGCCUGCAAAGAAAUACCUUGGAUGAGAUAAUUUACUCUAAUGCAUGCUAGACAAGUAAAACCUGAACGUCAGCAUAUAUCAACAGUUCACAAAAAAUAUGGAAAAGUAAAGUAUUAACCGAGACACAACAUUUGUAAGAAUGAAGCAAACAUAUGUAAACUAAACUUUUUUGGGAAAGUAAAGAAAUCCUAUUUCUUCACAACCUUUUGUUUCUGAGACUAUAGAAUUUACCUUUACAACUAAAAGAGGAUAGGUUACUACAGUCGCUCCAAGUUUUGCCAACGCACCAAGAAAAAAUAUCUGCAUAGCCAAAUACGUAGCUUAACAUUGUGAUGGAACACCCGAAAAACAAUUACGUGUGGACAAACAAAUCUGGCCAUGGUUGCAAUGUGGCAAUGUUGAGAAUUUUAGUGAUCAGGGAAAAGGUUACCUCCAAUGCAGUAACUCCACUCCCAUCCUUCCGUAAAGCACGUCGUUUUUUCAAUUUGUUCAACAAAGUUUCAUACAGCAUGUACUGUAUAGAAGGGUUGCUGACCUGUCAUUAAGAGAGGAAUAUUUAGCAGCGUUUCCUUGUGUAUCAACGAAAAGUUUCUUUCCCCCACGUACCAUGAUCAUUGUUGGGAUUACUCCUUUCCAGAAACCCUUGAUUCCCGCUUCAUCGUAAAGUUCUUGAAUCUGAAGAUUGAGUAAAUAUCCAGAGUGAAGUAUGCUUAUUAUGUUUUCAUGGAAGAAAAGACAUGCUUUAACUAAUAAGAUAGAGAUUAAAGAUAUAAAAUGUGAAAAAUAGGAUCACUUGCUGACUAAAGUUCUUAACAUCCAUAUAUUUAUGAGACAUUCUUUAACAAUUCAGACCGAACAAAGAAAAAAAGGGUACUGCUUCUAGGUUUGGCCCUUUAGAGUUAUCUAUCAGUUUUCAAUCUCAAGCAAUAGGUUUACAACAUAAGGGCAACCGCUGGCAGUCAUUAUUUUCAGAUACUCUGAGAGAACUAUUCAGUAAACAAUCCCUAGAUGUAAAUAAUCUACUAUCCAAGGAAGUUCAAAUGAAUGUUAAACAUGGAUCUAAUCAAAUUGCCCUGUACAACGAAGGUGGGGAAAGGGACUUCUUUUAUAAAUUUGAAAUCCUCCCCGCACGCCCCAUUUUGGUCAAAUGGAUAAGAAUUCACCCUAGAAAAGAACCGGUGAUGUGUCCUUUUAAAUUGAAGUUAUCAUAAAAUCUAAUUACGAUUAGAAGGCUGGUUAACCAAGAUGAAUUAUAGGGGCAAACUAUGGGUCAAAAUCCAAUUCGGGCAGACAAAACCAUAGAAAAGAUAAACUAAUUACCAAGAAAUUGCCUAAGAGAUCAUGGUAGCAGAAAAAAAUGUCUGCUUUUUUUCAUGCAACAAAGAGUUCAUAGCUACCGUGGAAACUGGUACAUAAAUAUUUGUUACUUACAGCAUGAGUGGUUCCGUAGGAAGGAGGAUCAACGACUGCUGUUGGCGGAAUUGUUUCAUCUAGUGGAGUCAACGCUCCACCAGGUAGAGACGGCUUUGAGAUUUUUUUAUGAGUCUGAAGAAUGGUAACACAAAUCUUGUCAUUUCAAAAUUUUGAAAUUCCAUGAAAUCCUCAACAACAAGAAACUACUUAUUCAAGUUUAGUUCAAAACUCUUGAGGAAAGUCAACAUCAAUAAGUGCAAUUAAAUAAAGUAAAUGGAGCCAAAAUCUAUGGUUUGGUUAUUGUACUUCAGAAAUUCGAAUAUACACAGGUAAAAGGAAAGACUUUAAGUCCUAUAAAGAAAGAAAGGCUUUAGACUUUCAGGACCAAAAAGUUUAGCCCCCCAAGAGAGACAAAAAUCUUCUUCUUUCUUUAAGCCAAAUUUCGUUAAGAUGAAUCAUAGAAUCCAAUCGGCUAAGAGAUCAAACAAGCCAAUCCAAAAGCAGGGUUGACAAGACAGCAACAACAACAAGAACAAGAAGCAAAAGAAAAACCAACGUUAGGCAAUAAAAACAAUAAAGGCAAGGCAAUCAUCGUGAAUCGUGUGUGUAAACCUGGAAUUCAAGUCACUGACUUAAAUCCAAAAGGGCCUAGAUGCUAUGCUCAACCCUUAAGGGCGACAUCCUAAAAUGAUUUCCUUGUACACUGGUUUAAUUGAAUUCAAUUAAUUUUUUUUUUUUUAUGAAGCAUAAAUAAAACAACAGAAGUUUCAUAAUAUAUUAUUACCUGCAUCCGAGUAACCACCACCCAUAUAGGAUUUGUCAACAGUACAUUAACACACCUAGAGGAUGAAGAUAUUUUUAGACAAAUGGAAAUAACAAAGAACUGAAUAAUGCAGAUGGUUUGGUAGUAGAUCUAAAUUGCGUUUGAAAAAGUUUGAACUGUUUGAAGAAGAUAUGUAAAUAUAGUGGAAAUAAUGCAUUGGAGGCUAGACCUGAAAGCAUAGGAUGCAACCCCAAAUGUCCACGUUUGAUCCUCUUAAAGAAAAAAUCAUAGGCUUAGGACCUUUCCUUCACCUUCUUGUACAUCCUUUAUCCCUUAUCUUUUGUUUGAAUUGAUUGUGUUUCUUAUGAUAUGUAAAUAAUAAGAAAAUUAAAAAACAAUUUAGACACAAACCCAGAUAUAGCAGCCACCAGAAGCGAGGAAAGCAUCCCAACAGAUCCAUCUCCAAUCCCUGCCUUCAUUCGUUCAAGAGAAGCAACUUCAGCCUUGUUCCUGAAUAUUUGGUAGAAAUAGUAGUAAACACCCUGUACCAAGAACAAGAGUUUGUUCAAAUAUAAGAUACCAUGAAUGUGAAGCAUAGAGAAAAGUUGAGUAGAAAAUAUUGAAUCUUCAUGUAUAUCAUAUUCAUAAAAAAUACCACAAAAGUUUUUUGUCAAUAUCCCAACAAGAAGUUCAAAGUUUAUUAUUUUAUUUUGGAGAAAAUGUUGUUGUAGAGAGCAGGGAGUUCACCAUGACGGGCAUGCUUAUUAUUCAUUUACUAGCUACUGGCAUUAAUACAAUAAAAGUAUUUAGUUGGAUUUGAUAACAAUAUUAGCCUUUUGUUUUCAACCAUAACGUCUGAACAUAACUAGAGAACUCAAGCAAACCCCAUUGCAUCAAUAGUUGAUGCUGCCCAAGCUAACUAAGGAUGUUGUAAUAACAUGAUAGGAUCAUAGUGAAAAGGCUUGGCAAUAAAAAUGGAAGAUUUCCCACUUUGAUUGAACUGUUUUAUGUAUGAAUUGGAUGUCAAAAGAAAACUAAGUAACAAGUCUGAACUCUAAUACCCUCCUAUAACUGUCCAACUAAGAGUGCAUUCCAGUAACACAGGGGAGACCACAGACAAGCCGUUGUUGUCCAUCAUCAAUCAAACUUCAAGUAUUCUGCUGAUCCCCUUUACACAAAACAGACAGGUGAAGCCAGAAAUUCUGUAGUAUAUGCAAGAUGUUACGUUCUAACUUUGUGUCUAUACAAUCUUCCAAUUCCAAAGAUCUAGGAGGACAAAUUAUAGAGGAAAAUAUAUAAUUUACAAUGAACCAAGAAGUUCCCGUUCCUUCCUUCUUCAAUCCACCCAACAAAAAGCCAAAUGCAUUUUAAGUUUCUAACAAAUAUCAGAUACCAAAAAGUCCCCUUCUCGCAAUAACACUGUGGCUAAGACAAAUUUAACAUUGAAAUUUAGAAGUGUGCGAUAAUAUAGUAUCAAUUAGACCGACUUCAAAUGAGUCUCACCUGAGAUGCAGCCGUACCCACCAGAGACGGCCCCAAGCCACCGUAGAGCCGGUCCCAUCCUUCAUGUUUCACAACCUAUUCACAAAAACAGUCAAAAAGGUCAUUGAAAUCGACAGUGGUCACUUUAAUUUCGGAAAUCAGACGCGCAUAGUUUUCGUAUAUCAAAAUUUGUAGGAAAAGAAGUUGUGAAGAACAAAAUUAAGAGUACCUGACACAUCUGUUGAAAUGUUCCAAGUUUUCUCCUCUCCUUCUUCACAUCGCGCUCUGUUUGCUGACGAGUAUUCACCUACAGAAGAAACGAAAGGCGUCUGGAAUUGCAGAAAGAGCAAAAUUGAGCACUAAAAACUGAGAAUUUCGUAAAAGAAUUUACAGUCUGAAGAGGGUAUGUGAUGAGUUGGGCAAUGAUCCCUCCUCCAGCUCCGGCCAAUCCAUUGAUCAACGCGUCCGACAUAGUUUCCCGGUGAAAACCGAAUUAGAGAAAGCAAAGAAGAAGGAAGAAAAAAGGGGUAUGUGGGAAGAUAGAAAGUGAUGCAAAAAAAGGGGUGUUAGUUCACCGGGAAAAUGCACCGGAAGCGGAGCAUUGACGUGAAAAGAAAGAGAUCUAACAGAAAUAGAAUCGGAGAAGAAAACCCAUGUACGACUUUGUCUCUGUUGUAACUUCUACCCAAAUGAUAUUGACAUUUUCGAUGGCGUUUGAUAUCUGGGAAAAUUCUGACUAAAAAGGCUUGAAGAUGGGAAAUUUCACUUCAUUUUCUAUCAAAUUAAUGAGAAAAAUAUUUAGAGUAAUAAUGGGAUUUUAUUCAAUAUCAAUUUACCUUAACUUUUAAUUGUCUCUACCUCAUUUUAUAAUUUCUUUUGUUACAUUUCCUUCAUAACUUAUGACAUAUAUAUAUGAUUAUAAUAAUAAGUAUAAUAUUGGGUGUUUUUAUUAUUAUUUGAUUAGAAAUAAGGAAAUGGAAGUAUGAUAUAUUGGAUGAAAUUCUUGAGAGGUGUGCCACUACUUGGCCCAAUUUCUAACUUCUUCCCCAAACGCAAAGAAUUCUCAUAUUUUCAUUCACACAAAACCCCUCCAAAUAGAUAAUACCUUCCUCUUGUAUCUAAUAAUAUUUUAAGUUAUUGAUUAAUUUAACCUUUUUAUUUGACAUAGAAUUCAACAAUAUAUCUAAUAAAAUUAAAAAUAUAUCCUUUUUAUUUAAAAUAGAUUGUCCAACAUGUUCAAUACCCAAUAUUUUAGAAACAAAGUUAAAUAAUAAAUUUGAAACUUUGAAGUGUUAUUAGUCCAAAUGCAUAAAUUAACCUACUUGAGUUAGAGUUGUUAGGUGAGUUAUGUUUUAUUACAAAUUGUUAAUACAGACAUAAGUUACAAAUAUUCAUAGUAUAAUAAGAUAAAGCAUUGUCCAAUCAUACUCAUCUUUUAUCCUAUCUAUAUAUACUAAACCUUAAUAAAGUAUAUGUGUUUAUAAAUUUGCUUUUUGUCUCCUUUCUAAUUCUUUUUAAUAUCAUUUAUUUCUUGUAUGUUUCUUCUCUACUUUUUUUUAAUUUUAAUAGCACUUUAAAGUAGGCUGCCUUUAGAUUGUACCGACUUAGUUCGAUGAUUCAAUUUUCUUUGGAUGAUUUUUUUUUCUUUUAUUUUUGUUUAUUCCAAGAUUUUGCUUAGAAAUUUUUAUUUUAAAGAGAGAAACUCUAAUUAGAGUUGAGGAACAUAUCAAAUUAUUGACCUUUUUAAUUUAGAACAGUUGAAUUAUGGUUAGGGUGUAAUAAAGUUCAUUUUUAAAAGGACCAAAAUGGCCAACAAACCUCUAAGGUUAAUACUUGCUAAAAAAAAAAAAAACAUAUGUCAUUGACCCAAAUUAACGCUUUAAAUUUGAGAUAUAGCCUAAAAGAGACGCUCAACAUCAACCCCAUAGCCAAAUAUUGAAAUCAAGCACCCCUUGGCCCAAAAGAUUAUCUCCUUAUCGUAAAGCAACUUAGAAAUCUUAAAAAACAACCUCUGUCAAAUUUCUAGAUAAAUGAACCACUAUGACUUCCUAUAAAGUAUCUAAAAACCUUUGGCUUCUUCACUAAUAUUUAGUUCUCUUAGUGAUUUGGGCGUUAGAGUAUUUUAUCUUUGUUUUGCAGAUUUUUUCUUCGUCAAAUUGCAAAUUUACUGUUGUUGUCAUGCAAAGGGACAUAAUCCAAUUUCUCAUAGUCAAAGCUUUGGGUCAACAAGUGUAUUUUAGAACUUUAAAGUCAUUUUUUAAAAUUUUGAGAGUUGGUAAAUAAUUUUUAAGCCUUCAAAACUAUUUUUUUUUUUUUAUCCUUAUGACUAAAUCAACACUUAACAAAUCUUUAAGAUUGUUGGUGAUAAAUGCACUAACUUUCUGUAGACCAAUUAAAUCAUAAAGUAAACCUGUUUGUGAGAUUAUUGUACCUUUUAAAAUAAGUAGGAGGCACUUAUUUAGUAAAUUUCAUGUAUAAUUUGAAAAUUAAGACUAUUCCAUCUCAAUUUCAAUAUCAAACUAUUAAAUAUAAACCUCAAUUUCAUACAAAGAUAAAAUAUAUGUACUAGAAAAGAGAAUAAAUAAAAAUAUCAAUAACAAAUUUUACUUCAAAUUACCAUAGAUUUCUAAAUCAAUAAAGGAGAUUGAUUAAUUAAAAUAACGUAGAGGAGAUUGCUUUGCAAAUAAAACGUAUUAAUAAAAAAAAUUGUUUAAGUGAAAAUAAAUUAAAAAUAAUAAGGAAAAAUAAUUGUACUAGGAGAUUAUUGUUAAAGAAAUAAUUUUACUAAAAAUUCGAUGUGAUCAACUCUUGUGAAUUGAGAGUGAGAAAGCGAAACAAGCCUGAGCAAGAGUAGUCAUUUGUUAGUGAUAAAAAGAAGAGAGAAAGCAAGAAGGUAAUUUCACAUAGUCAUUUGAUAUUCUUCUAUCUUAUACCACAUGAAUUUGUUUUCUAAACUAAACGCAUCGAAUUCGAAUUCAAUUAGUGUUGCAUUUUUGGAUAACACAAUCUCAUUUCAUAAAUAUUAGAUCAGAUUUAAUUUUGAUAAGUUAGCUUCUGAUUUGUUUUUAUUUGAGAAAAGUGUUUAAAAUGGUUCAUAAACUUAAUUGCCACCAACCAUAAGAUAAUUGUGUAAUGAUAGUUGCUUCCAUUUUCUUUUAUUUAUUUGAUUAAAUGAGUUAGCUUAAUAUGUGGUUUAAUUAAAGAUUCUUUUAUUUAUCCGUCUUUCACCACAUGGUGGAACAAGUGCAGCAUCCACAAUCCAUCCUCAACAAGUUUCAACAUUCUCGGAAGAUAUCUUCUACCCAUGUACUAGAAGCUCAAUUUGUAACUUUCAAAAGCUCCUCUUUUCAAGAUAGGAAAACCAAAUUUCAAAUGAAAAUGAGAAAAAUUAUUUGAACUUAAUUUUUUGUCACAAAUUAAAAACUAUAUCCCUGCUCUAGAUCUAAACAAGGAUGUUACUUGGAUGAUUGAAAAUUAAACGUGAUUUUGGAGGAUUGAAACGAAAGGAGAAUGAGGACUAUAUCUAGUGAUGAGUUUCAUAAUGUCUCAACGGUCAUAAAAGCAAUAGUGCAUGGAAACUGUAAUGCCUCAACAGUCAUGUCAAAGCGUAAUAUCUCUAUGCGUUCAAUUACAUCUCAACGCAUCACAAAAUCUCAAUCCUUAACAAUCUAAUUGCCUCCUUUAAUAUGCUCAAAGUUCAAAAGUCCCAAAGAAAAUUUUUUGAAAAUUAAUUUUAUUAAUUAAAGAUAAAUAUCUAAUAAAUUUUUUUUUUUUUUUUAUUUCUUACCUCACCUUACCACGCCACACCUCGCCUAUCCAACCGAACGGAAGGCAGCGACGUGCAUGUGGAGAUAUCAACAAAUCCGUAUUUGCCUUUCUCCUCACCCCCCUCUAAAACAUGUCUCAAAAAAUCAUAUAAUGAACUCUCUAAGUUCAACCAAACACACAAAGUUCAAUAUAUUCACCCCUCCAAACAUUUGAAUAAGUAAAUUGAAUUACCAAAAUAAACACAAACCACAAUGAAGGCUUAAAACAAGUUAGACAAAGCUCAACUUACCUCUCACAACAUUCAAAUGAGCAAAAAGUUCAAACAAACCAUACAAAGACAAGUGCGGGGUGAUACAUGAUCUAAAGCAAAGAAAAAAGAGUUUCAAAAUCCAUCUUCGGAUAUGCAAUAAUCGAGGCAUCGAGAAUUCUUCCUAUAACUUUCAACGCGACUUUAUUAUUCAUUGAAAGUUCACACCUAACUCUCGACACCUAUAUUGUAUUCGUCGGAAGUUAGGAACAAAAUCGAUUACUUUUAUUCCAACUUAAAGAAACUUCUUAUGGAGUUCAUCCCGACUAUUGUUAUAGACUUCAGAACAUUGGCUUUCUCCUGACGUAUUUUAUGAUGGUUGGUUUUGACAUUGAGAGAUUCUUUUUUCUUGUAGUGUAAAAUCGUUAAUUUUUCCUUUAAAAAAUAGCUUAAUAUGCUAAGGAUAUUUUUUUAAAAAAUAAGUUCAAAUGUGAUGUUCACCAACUAAACAGAUUUGACUGUUUUUUAACUGAAAAAGGAAAAGGGAAGACCACUAUGGAAUAUAUUAGAAAUAGACCACGUAUGAAAAGAUAUAUAUUAGGUAAUGUUGGUGAUAUAUAAUUAAAGUUGCCUUCAACCACGAGUUUAAGCUUUUGGAUGAAUUUGUGGUUUAAUAUGGUAUCAAAGCAAAUGGUUCAGGGAGGUCUUGUGUUCCCCAAUUAAAAUCAAUUUCCACUUGUUGAGUCUUUCAAGCUUAAACUUUUGGAUGAAUUUGUGGUUCAAAACUACAUGUAGUGAAAUAAUAUAAAUUAAAAAAGAAAAAGUGGUGAAUAUAACACAACAUAUAUAUAUAUAUAUAUAUAUAUAAACACCAAAAUCAUAUGCAAAAUGUAUAGUAAUUAAGUAGAUAAAGUGUUUGUGAAUUGGUAGUUUAGUAAAAUAACGUAGGUUUAUAAGAAUAUGGUGGAAAAAAGAAAAGUAUAUGUUGAAACAACCAAUUUAAAUCAAGAACAAUACACAUUUCUUAUUUCUUAAAUGUAAGAAGAUUAUGGUUUUUGAAUAUAUCAUAGAAUAAAUCUAGAGCUUGUAUGUAAUAUAAAAGUAACACAAGUAUCAAUAUUUGAAUUAAAUAUAAUGAAACAAUGCUAACUACAAAUAGAAACAAUCCAAAAUAAGAAUCAUUAAAUGAAAAACGAUAUAUAUAUAUAUAUAUAUUGUAAUUAAUUACUUCAAUUUUUCUUUUUUUAAUUUAAUAAGAGAGAAUGUGUAUAAGAUUAAACAAAUUUAUGUGAAAGUAGCUAUCUAAUAUAAUUCAAGUUUAGGACAGUAAAUUAAAGUCAAAUCUUAGAUAUUUAUUUUUCAAAGAAAUGUGAGCCUAAAUAGAUUGGGUAAAGGCCCAUUGGACAAAUUGGGCUUAGCCCAUGAAAACUUCAGGCCAUGAUUCCUUGGCUUACGUGGUCCUUGGAUUAGUUCAUGAAAACUGAUUUGGCUUGUUUUGAAAACACAAAGGAUGAAUAGAAGAACUUUCACUAUUUUAUGUGAAUUGCUAAAGUCUAUGGAUCAACUAAGGGGAUCCUAAUAAUAACUUUCAUUAUUAGCUAUUAUCAUAAUAACUUUCAUUCUUUUUCAUCAAAAUUGUUUUGGGCCCUAGAUGGAACAUAUAUUAAAGUGAAUGUUUCAAUUAUUGAUAAACCUAGCUAUACCACAAAAAAAAAAAAAAAAAAAAAAAAUCGCAACUAAUGUGUUUGUAUGUUUGGAUUAAAUAUAAUGUAUUUGAUCAUUUAUUUAUUUAUUUUAUUGUUUAAUUUUGUCCAUAUGUUUAUUUACGACAAAUUAUAUCAUAUAUUCAAUAUGAAAAAGAGAACAUUCCAAGGGAACUAUCGGAGAAAAAAGAGCAUGGAGCAAUAACAAGUAAAUGCUUGUUUAGUUCUUGAGUUGUUGGAACUAAAUAAAUCAAGUAAAUGACAUGUAGCAAUGGCACGUUCAAACUAGGUUACUUGCAACACCUUUGGAAAUGGAUAUGAAAGAAGAAAAUCCUAAUAGAAAAUUAUUGAAAAGACAAUAUCAUGCAAUAGAUGUGAUGUUAGGCCCAAAUUGUUCGAGAUUUGGAUGGAAUGACAUUUACAAAUGCAUAGAAGUUUAAAUUUUUUACGAUUGGGUUAAGGUAAUAAUCAAUUUAUUGUCACUAUUUAAUACUAUUCAAACAAUACUUAUUUUAUAUUCUUUGUUAUUUUCUUGUGUAACUAUUUUUAUGUGGUAGAGUCAUCCAACAACUAAAGGCCUUCGCAAUAAGUCUUUUUCACACUUUGAAGAUCUACCACAUGUAUUUGGAAAAGAUUAUGCUAAAUGCGGUUGAAGCUAUAACGGAGAAAAAGACUCAUUUUCGGAAUUUGGGUUAUAUCCUUCCGCCAAUGACAAUAUAUAAUAGCAAUUUUUGAAGGAGCAACAUCUCACAGUGAAAUACCUUUAGAUGCCUCUAGAAGAAAUGAGAAGAAAAGAAAAAGAGGUGAGAAAAUGAUUGAAACAAGAAGUGAAAUCGUGAGUGAAUUAAAAUCUAUAUAUUCUAAUGCAACUGCACUACACAUUGCCAAACUCGCACUUGUUUUCAACAUGAAGCAGAUGUAGCUAAAAGAAGACAAAUGUUGUUUGAUGAGAUAAUGUCAAUUAAUAUAUAGUUUAUUGACAUUGGAGCGUGUGCGGGCUUCAAGGAUUAUAGCAAAGGAUCAACAUUUGAUCAAAUUAUCUCUUUACUAUUCGAAACCCUACUUUUAAACAUGAGUUCAUACAUGAUGCGUUAAGAAGUGAAGCAAAUAGUUUGAGUUAUAUGGGAGGAAUAAUGUAGGAAAAUCCAUGGGUGUAGUUAUCUAAUAAGUUUAAUUUUGUAAGCUUUUUUUGUAGGGGAUCCUGAACAUUGUACAGUUCACCUAUUUUGUAUAGAUAGCCAUGGGUUUGGCUUACAGGACAAAUCCCAUUCAAGUGGUGUAUAGGUCGGUUAGUGCUUGAUGAUUCAUAUCUAUGUAAAAAUUACUUCAUUUUGUUUAUACCAAUGGAAAUGAAAUAUGAUAGUGAUGGAUUGACUUUUCUUGUACAAUGUUAAACUUUUUCAAUUCUAGUAAAGAGUAAAUGAAUUAAUGACAUUGGUGGAUUUUCCAUUUCAAAAAACAUUGUGCAUAAGCAGAUCUUAAUUAUUAGACUUUGAAAAACUUGGAUGAGGUUCUUACUUUUAUAAUGUAACUGAGGUUUACAUAUUGUUAUAUUUGUUUUCCCUCAAUCCAAAGAGAUAACAACAAUUUUUUUUAUCCAUAUAAUUGAAUAAAUUACAUUGCAAGAUUUAUAUAUAUUUGGAUUUAAAAUGUAAUUUUUAUCGUCAUUUAUAACAAAAACGAGAAAAAAUUGUGCAGAAAAUACAUAGUUAAACAUUUAUUUGUGAUUCAAAGGAGACAAACAGAAACAGAAGUUGUUUAUUCAAGGGGUUUUCCUUUUUUUGGGGGUUAGCAUGGGGAAUGGGCCAGAAGUUUCCUCUUCUUCAAGCUAAUAAAUGCACAAGAUCUCAAUUAAAAUGAAGAUAUCAAUGCAUGUGAAAAGAUUUAAUCAUUCAUUCUAUGAUGGUUUUCCCUAUUUCCUACUACUUUGGUUUGAUUUCUUUAUCCACAUUUCCAGCCUUUCAAGAUUUGGUACUUUAAACUCUAUUUUAAAAUUGAAUGUUUCUGUUUAGCAUUCAAAAAAUUGCAUAUUUUUUUAACGAGAGAAUGUAAUAUGUUGGAGUUUAGGGUAUUUAAAUUAUGACAUUAAUUCACAAAUUAUUGUUUAUUUAAUCAUAUAGACCAUGGGUUUGGUUAUUGCUCCUGUUUCCCUCCUCCAAUUUUUUUUUAAAAAAAAUUAAACACACAACAUACAAAGAUAAUUUGAUUUAUUUGAACCAUUUCAAACUCUUAUGUAUGAAUUAUUAAAUUACUUAAUGUCUAUAUUAUUUUAUUGCAUUAAAAAGGUUAAGAAUUUUGUUGGAUGAAUAACUAGCUAUUUGAAUGAGAAUAAUUCAUACUGAAAAAAAAAUAGUUUUGUUGAUUUUUAUAGGAAGAAAAGUUGCUUGUGGAAAAUCUAAAGCCAAAGGAAGAAUUUUGAUCCAAUCCUUAUAAAAUUAAAUGAGAAAAUUUGUGAGGAUGUGUGGAAUGAAAUAGAGGAUAAUAAUAGGACUAUUGAGAUUUUAUGUUUGGCAAAUUUUCUCCAAAAUAAGGAUGACUUUUCACUUUAGAAAAAGAAAGAAAAAGAUUAUCUACUAAACUAGAUGAUAUAUAAGAAAAUUUUAUAAUAUGCUUCUAAUCUCUAUAUUAUCUUGUUGCAUAGUGGGACAUUUUCUUAAUUGCACAACAAAUUUUUUUAAAACAAAAAUGUAGGGAUGAAUUAUUGAAGUGUAAUGAGGCUAAAUAAAUAAUACAAUAAGGUUGGUUAAGGAGUUAAUGUUGAUUAACAUAAAGUCUUGAGGGUUUGAUGUAAGCAAUAUUUAAUAAUUAUUCUCUAUGGUACCCUUCUAAUAUUCAAUCUUAUCACUUUUCGUUAUUUAUAUUUCUUCACAAUAUAUAUCAUUAUUCGUUUUUUUUUUUAUUAAAAAUAGAAAAGAAAAAAGGGAAAUGAAUAUACAAUAAUAUCCUAUAUGGCACCACUCUAUUGAUAGAGAUUAAAGGGUAGUGGGAUUGACAAUGAGGUGAGGCUCUAAAAUUGUCUUUUACGUAACGAAUACUUUUUAACAAAAUUACAAAUAUGCCCUCCACAAUACAAUUUAAUAAAGACAAGAAUAACGGGUAUAAAUGUAUAUUAACUUUCCCUAUAUUAUAUAUAUUCUUAAUUAGUUGGGUGAAAUGUCAAUUUUAGGGAAAUUUUUGUUUGAUGUUAAUAUUCCACUUUAAUUUUUUUUUUUGUUGAAAUUAGAAUGGAAUUAAUGCAUUGCAUCUUUUAAUGUUUUUGGCUUAUUUUUGUCAACAAACAUUUUUAUGUUUUACACCGUAUUUGAAUCAAAUAUUAGAAGUGAAAUUAUCUCACGUUCGAGAAAAAAAUUAAAAAGUAGUGGAUUUCAAGCACCUUUUAGAAACACUUUAAAUUCAGGUAAAAGAUAUGUCAACCCUAGUUAAAUUUUAUAUAGGAUAUGCAGUAUUUGAGACAGAAUUCUUUUGCAUAAUUAGAUUUCUUUUUGGUAGGUUGUGAUUUUUUAAGUUCUUAAUUUUAUUGUUUUUUUUUAAAUUUAUUUUCUUCUAGGUUUAAUUAUGUGGCUAAAUUUUAAGCAGAUUAAUAUUUAAAUUAUGUGGCUAAAGUUAGAUUUGGGAAUUUAUUUUGGGUUGAAACUUAUUGCUUUGUGGUUGAAUUUUGUAUGAUUUGUUUAAUUUUAUUUUUAUAGAGGUAUGUCAAUAUCAUGAGAGACUUGAGGUUAAAAUCGUCUAGCAAAAUUAACAUUGUAAUAAUUAUGGACAUAUAUUUAAAGCAUAAUAAAUUAGUGGUUUAAUAAAACAAGUAUCAACUUUAAUUUUUGUUUUUAUGAGAAUAACACUAACAAUAAAGUCAACUUUUAUCUCUCACAUUACAAAUAUCAUUUGAAGAAGCUUAACAUAACUAAUUAAUUGCAAAAUAAUGGAUUAAGAGACAUGUAUGGAUGUUCAACUCUAAGCAGUAAAUUUUGUUAGUCAAGUUUUGUAAAAAUCUAAUUUCUAAGUAAAAAAUAGCACUAAACUGCAAUGAAAUUUUUUAACCUUAAAACAAGCAUAGUUCAACUAAGUAACAUGUGAAAGAUAAUUGGAUCUCUCGCUCUGUAUAUAAAAGAUAGUAAUUAUAGUCAUAUAUUAUUUAUGAUUUACGAUUUAGAAAGAUUACAAUAUUAUGUAAACUGUAUAAGAAAAACUAAGUUGGAAAGUAUAUUAAAAUUAUUUGGAGUUAUAAUUUUAAACUAAAUUGUAUAAAUGUUGAAUACAAACAAAAUUGGAAUACAUUUAGAACUACACAAACUACAUCAAAAUAAAUUAGUAUUAAAAAACGUAAGACAUCAUUUGAUAAUUAAGAAUUUUGUUUUUAUUCUGUGAAACUUUGUCCACAAAAGAGAAUUAUUUAGGUUUACAACAAGCUAUUGCUAUUAUGAAUAUAUAAAUUAAAGUUUUGUUAUAUGUAUAAAAAAAAUUGAACAGUUUUAAAUUUGAAAAAACUGUGAUGAGAAUAUAAGUGUUUCUUCAACCAACCACAUAGUGAGAUUAAAUAAUAAAGUUGAAUUCUUAAAAUCCAAUGGUAUCUUAAUUCAUCAUCACUUCCAGUGUUCCACAACAAUUUCUUGAAACAUAAAAGUACCAAUUUGCAAACACAACAUUCACCACCAUGGAUUGAAUGCAAAUUAUAGAAAAAUGUUUGAUGGAAACAGAAACAGAAUUAAAUAGAAAAACGAAGAAAGGGAGACCCAAAGUAUGAGUUUUUGUUUUCAAAACCCUACAAAAGAAAAGAAAACACAACAAUGCAACGACAAUGAAGAAUUGACAAGUCGCAUAAAGCAGGUAAAAAGGAGAGUGGGUAUCAUUAUUUCAAUUCUUUUUUCGUUUGUUUUUUUCUGGGAAAUUAACCAUACAAAGCUUCAUAGCCACACAUAUAAUUACAGAUAACACUGCACUCCCUUACAACUUGGGUCCCAAAGUUGGAAUUUUAAAUACCAUAAAACUAAAAAAAAUUACAACACAAAAGGGGAAAACAGCCUUCUUUUUGGGAUCCGACGGCUGUGAUGGAUUGAAGAAGCAUCAUGGAUUUAGAUAAGAUUUUCACUUGGACUUGAAAGGGAUGGCUCUGAUUACAACUUGGUGGUACAGAGCUGCAAGAGCAGCGCCGAUGAAAGGUCCCACCCAGAAUAUCCACUGUAAUUUAACCAUAAUCAUGUGUUAACAUUUAACAUUUUAACAAUUAAGAUUAUUAAAAGAUUAUGAGAUUAACAAACUCACGUGAUCAUCCCAUGCUUCGUCGUGGUUGUAAAUAAUGGCCGCUCCCAAGCUCCUCGCUGGGUUGAUGCCGGUGCCCGUGAUCGGAAUGGUGGCUAAGUGAACUAAGAACACUGCAAAUCCGAUGGGUAAUGGUGCCAAUAUCUGUUCCAUAAAUUAACAAUUUUUCUUUUAGACUAACUUCUAGAAUUUCUUUACGCUUUUCACCUAAAAGUAACUUUCAAAAAGACAGACUCCCUGUUUUUUCAACUCACCGGAACAUGUGAAUCUCUGGCGCUACGUUUAGCAUCAGUGGCGGAGAAGACGGUGUAAACAAGGAUGAAAGUACCCACGAUCUCAGCGCCAAGGCCAUCCCCUUUGGUGUAUCCCUUGGCCACCAUGUUAGCUCCGCCGCCAAGGGCGUCGUAGGGCUUGGGUUGGAACCCUUUCACCACGCCGGCACCGCAGAUGGCACCAAGGCACUGCAUCACUAUGUAGAAAACGGCCCUAGUCAAGGACAGCUUCCUCGCCAGAAACAGCCCGAAAGUCACCGCCGGGUUAAUGUGGCCACCGGAAAUUCCAGCAGUACAGUAAACCAAAGCAAAAAUCAUACCGCCGAAAGCCCAAGCAAUCCCCUGAAUUCCGACGGUCUUACACGUGUUCCCCUCAAUACUCUUGGACCGGACGACACCCAUGACGGUCAAAACGGUGAUGUAGAGGAAGAGGAAAGUAGCGAAAAACUCGGCAAUUCCAGCUCUGUAAAAGGACCACGAAGUGAGCUCCUCCGGCUCAAACAAAGGCGCCGGUGGUGGCUCCUUGUAGUCCUUAGCGUCAUCUUGACUCUGUGCCGCCGUUCCAAUGGGCUGUCUCUCGUUGAACUUGUUAGCUCCAAGUCUAACAUCUUCCUCCUUCCCUUCCAUUCCGGAAAAACGUGUGUGUUUGUGAGAGCAGUUGAGAGCGGAAGAGGGCGGUUGUGUAUGUAGUAGAGUAGUAGUGAGGAAAGUGAAGAGAAGGAGUAGGUUAUAUAGCAAUGUAGAGUGAAUUUAGUGAAAAACCAAAGGGACCCAGGCAGUUAAAAAGAAAGAAAAAUAAAAAUAGAGAAAACCGACCAAUGAUUUUUGUAGAAUUUUCUGGAGAAUAGGUGGAAAAUGACAGAAGGGGCGGUCGGGUUGGCGUACAAUUAUUGGGGCACGUGGCGAAAGAUUAGCCACAAAGGAGAGGUAGAGAGUGGAGAAUGGGAGUCAGGCGCCCACCGUCCAUGUGGACCAGAUGGUGAAGUGAUUGUGAUAAGUUCAGGAUUUGUAUUUUAAUUUUUAAGGGGUAAUAGAGGAAAUGGAGGGGUUGGACAUCCACGUGGAGGUUACGUGAUUGGUUUGCCUGGAUAUGUUUGUGGACAAAACAAUGUCGCAGCGCUGUACAAAUAUCAUCUUUACUUCCUCCUUCCAUUAUCAAUAUAUAUAACUAUCUAUUUUUCCACCUUUUUCUUUCUUUCUACUCUUUAAUUCCUAUUUUCAUCUUUAUUUCACUCUUUACUUUUAUUUACAAAUAUUUCCAAAUUAUAACAUUAUUCCAUUUUACUACAAAUUUCUCUAUUUCAUCUUUCUUUUAAACAUAGCAUCCUUCCACCUAAUCAAAUGAAAUAUGUGCACUUUAACUUUUCUUUUUUUUUUCUUCCUCUUUAAAUUCAUCUCCAUCUCUACUACAUUCAUCCCUCUUAUCUAUCUAUAUAUUCAUAAACAACAAGUUAAGUUAUUAUUUGAGUUUGGCUUUUCAAGUUUUUCCUUCAAAAUUAUCCCACCAACUUUCAAAUAUAACCUCAUGUACACAAAAUUGUAUAUGGCAAGAUGGAAUAAUAAAAAUGACCACGUUUUCUUAUAAGAUAUCCAUAUAUCUUAUCAAUCACUCUAUUACAAAAAAAAAAAGUCCAAUAGAGAGUUGAGAGAAAUUAGAUAUAUGAUGAGAACAUAAUUAAGCACUACAAAUAAAGGUAUAGUAAACUCUUACAUCAUGACAUAAACUUAACCUAAAAUACUAGAUUUAAUAUAUAUUAGAUACUCUAACAUGAGGAUAUUAAUAAAUCCAUCAACUCCUUUACUUCACACUAUGGAUAAAGUUUAAUUCCUGUCAUUUUAAAUGUAUUCUUAAAUAUGAAGAUGACUUUGCACAAACUUACACAAAAUUAAAAGCAACGAAAAUGACUCAUACAUAGGUUAGUUUCUGUACCAUCUUAAUUUCUCUGAGGAAAAAGAAAAAAAUUUAAUUAUUUUUCUCAAUCUGUUUUUUUUUUUUUAAAAAAAAAAGAAAUUGAAGAUGAAAAAUUGCUUCCUUUGUAAUAAUAUAUAUUUUGUUUUAUAAUUCUCUAGCUUUUAUGUACUAACACUAUUUUUCGAAAUAUUUUUUCAUCCACUUGUUUUUUUCUUGCCAAUUGUUUAAAUUUAUAUCAUUGUUAUUGUUUAUAAAAAUAGUGUUUGUGAAAAGGGAGUUUUAGAAGUCACAUCCAAAUAAUACAUGCCUCUACUACAGCAUAACUCAUAUUUCAUAAGACAAUAUUAUUUUAUAAUAAUUAAUUAUGACCUUUUUUAUUUUUGGGUAAUGAAUACAGCAGAGCACAGAUAUUUUAAACAUACAAUUAUGUACAAAUAUGAAUACCAAAUUCUAUUGACUUUUAUAAUCUCUAUUGGGAGGUUACUUAAUAAUGUUAGUUAUUAAUAAAUUUAGGAUUUAUGAUCAUAAUCGUAAAUCCUAAAUCUAAGUCUAGUCUAAGUUCAAUCAAGUUAUCUUUGGGUUUUAAAUUGGCCUACCUACCCUAGUUUUCAAUUACCAAAAAAGGAAUAAUAAUUGUGUCAAAUUCACUAACAAAAUCUUGCAAUAUCAAGGGCUACAUUUACUUUGAUGUAUAGCACAUACUUUGACGACGAUAGUCUCUAUAAAUAUAGUUUCAUUUAUCCAUCACGUUGUUGUCUAGUAAUAAUAUUCUAAGUGCACUUUACUAUAAGAAUUUUCUCUUUUACCCACGAAAAUAAACGUUGGCUAAAGUCGUAAUAAUGUCAAAAUAAGUUAUGCCAACAAAAAUUCUUAUGUCCGUAAAAUCGUCAUUGUAUCCAUGUUGGGAGAAGUAAUUAUUGACCAUAAAUUCCUUUUUACAACGCACUAUCUUGCAUAUGUCGGCAUAUAAGUUUUUCAAACAAAAUAUAUAUUUUUUCCUUUAGAAUAACUGUACUUCCAAUCGAGGUAUCAAUGUUUUUUCGUCUGCAUAAGUUGUUUGCAAUUUUAUAUAUAAAUUGUACUAUACUAACUAAUCAAAUUUUUAAUAAUACCUAAUGAUGCACAAAGAAUAAUUAAUCAACCAUCAAAACAAUUGAAGAACAAAUAUAACAAAAAUAAGCUAUUGUAUGUUAAAAAUAAAAUUAAUAUUUAAUAUUUGUUAAGUCACACAGUUACGUUAUUCGAGGAUGGCUAAGUUUUCACAAAUAUUCUAUACCAAAAAAAAAAAGUUUAUCAUUAUUCCUUAAGCCAAAAUAAGUGAGAGGCUACACCAAACUAAAUGAUCAUAUCAAAACCUUUUUACAAUCUCAUUUCUAACCUUUCACAAAUCCGAUCCUAGGCAAGAAAAGAAAAAUAAAAAAAAUUGUCAUUUCUCGAACCAAAAUGUUACACCACCAAAAUAAGUAAUCAACUCAAAAUCUUGAUGCAAUCUCCAAAAAAACGAUAUUCAAGAAUUCAAAUGUAUAAUUUAAAAUAGGAAAUACAAUAAGAAAUGACAAAGUGACAAAGUGACAACAAGUGGCAAAGUGACGAACACACAAUUUAAAACUACAAAGUAAUUAGCAAAAAAAUUAUAUAAAGUGACAAAGUAAAAUCCCCCUCUUAAAUCCCAAUUUAAUUGUUUCAUGAGUAAACCACAUCUUCAAUGAUCCUAAAAGCAUAAAACACAACUAUCAAACCCCUAUAAAUACACGAGAACGAAAUUCUCAAAGUAUGGAAGUGAAAUUUCAAAAACCCUCAACAAAACCUAACAAGUUCUCUCUCUCUCUCUUUUUUUUAAUAGUAUUAUGUUUUUGAAUUGUUGAAAGAGAAUUACUUGAAUUGUGGUUAAUUUAGAAACGAUGGUUAGGCCGAUCAUAAUUAACUUUUGUUAUCAACCACACAUGACCUUUAAUAUUUUAAUUAAUGUUAAAAAGAGUAUUUAUUAUGAUGUAAAUUAGUGAGGUAAACGACAAAUAUAUUGGUUGGGUUGGGUUGCAGCCGCCAGCUGAUUUGUGCCCAUCUAAUAUCUAUUAUUCGAUUUUACUUAAUAUAUAACUCUCACAGCUUUCUCUCUCUUUAUAUAUAUGUAUAUGAACAGCACAUUUUGUUUGUUAUUAGGUUAACAUUAGGGUUUUGAAGUUCUUACAUAUAACAUUAAUUUCUUUGCACCCCAGUAGUCAAUAUGUUUUUGGAACUUCAAAAACUGUGAAAUAAACUUUUUUUUUCAUAUAAAUUGAAAGAUAUUAAUCAAACAUUAGUUUAUGAUCAUAUAUAUACCACUUUGUGUACAGCUUGUUUUGAUUGGGCAAAUAUUACAAAUUCGUAUUUUGGUCAAUACAAAGAGGAAAGAAAAGAGUAAUGAAUGCAAUCAUAUUUGAGCCAAAAAUGAUUCAUUCAUUCAUUAUCUAACAAACAAACUCACAUCGAUUCAUGUGUUGGAGGUUUUGAAAUAAACAUUAAAUAUACAAUUGGUCCCCCAUAGGCCAUACCAAAACAAAAAUCAACAAAUAUCAUACAUAAUACAAAGUAUAUAGUCAUUCUCAAUUUAAAUCUUUUAAUCUUCCAUUUCAAUUCUAACUAUGAAACAAACCCUCUUUCUACUUGGUAAAAUAUAGAAAAGAAAGAGAGGUAGAGGUAAAGUACAAUAAUCUCGAUACACUUAAAAAAAAUUUGCUUGUAUUGAUUUUUGAAUUGUUUAAUUUUUAAAACAAUUCAUUUUAAGAUAAACUAACUUUUAGAAAAUUGAGAUUCCGAAAUAAAUCAUUUUAAAGAAUACACGUGUAACCAAAUUUUAGAAUAAAUGUUUAUUUGAUAUUGAACCAGAAUUUUUCCAAAAUAUAUUUUUUUUUCCUCUAUUUUUUUACUUGGUCGUUUUUUUUUUGUUUUUUAAUUAUUUUUAAAUACUUUAAAUAUUUUUUCAAUGUGUGUUCAUAUGCAUUUAAAUAUAUGAAUUUGCAAAUAUUCCUCUUUCAGCUAAAUCUACUUCGUCUUGAUAUGUUUGAAAAAAAUUAUAAGAACGUCAAUAUAUGAAAAACAUGAUCGUUCGAUUCGUGAAAUGAAAAUGAAUGAAGAAUGUGAUCAAAUUGCACGUCUUUUUGUCUAGUUGAUAUUAUAUUGUCUCGAAAAAAUUAUUGAUCUUAAUUAUAUUUUGUUGAUGGAAAUCGAUAAUUGUUUUAUGGUUAUCGUGUAUUUACAUUUCAAGAUAUUUGUGUUUCUAAAAUUGAAUUGUCCAAAAAUAUUAAUACAAAAAAUAUAAUAAUGUUUUUUUAAGUAACUAAAAAUAAUUUCAAGAUAACGUGCUAUUAUUUUUUAAAUAUCUUUAUGAAAAAAAUAUUCAAAAUAUGUGUAUUUCUUUAUGAAAUUAGUUUGUAACGAUUAAUAGUAUGACAAACCAAACACAAUUGUACAUAAAAAGUAAAUGAAGUUUAUUUUGAGUGACUUUGUUAAAUUUGGAUGAUAUAUAUACAAUCAAACUUCAUUCAUCAUGUUUGUAAAUUUUAAGCAUUAUUAUGAAAGAUUAAAACCCCCAUUUUAUGGACAAAAGUUUUAACAUCGCCCAUCUCGAACACAAAUCUAUCAACACUUAAUUCAUUAAAUUAACACUUCAUUAGAUACAAAAGAUGCCAAAACAAAAGAGUUGCAAUAAUAUAAUAAGCAUUUUGCAUAGAGAGAGAUCUAAAAUUAAAACCUUGACCUAAUUUAAAAUUUAGGAAUUUAGGUUUUAAUCUUUUUAUUAACGAUGAUGAAUAAUGUUCACUUGGACUUGAAAGGAAUGGCUCUAAUCACGACUUGAUGAUAUAAAGCUGCCAAUGCUGCUCCGAUGAACGGUCCAACCCAGAAUAUCCACUGCCAAACACAUUAUAUAUAUAUAAUUAAUUCACUAUUUCAUAUUCAUUUUUAAUUCCCUCAGGAUUCAAAUCAAUUAACAAACUCACAUGAUCAUCCCACGCUUUGUCCUUGUUGAAGAUGAUGGCCGCUCCCAAACUCCGAGCCGGGUUGAUGCCGGUGCCCGUGAUCGGGAUUGUUGCCAAGUGGACUAAGAACACUGCAAACCCAAUUGGUAGCGGCGCCAAUAUCUGUUCCAAUAACAUUUUUUUUUUACUUCUCAUAAACAAUCUAUAACUCUAUAUAUAUAGUUUGUUAUAUUAGAAACAACGUCUUAAUUUUACUCACCGGAACAUGUGAGUCUCUGGCGCUACGUUUAGCAUCAGUGGCGGAGAAGACGGUGUAAACAAGGAUGAAAGUACCCACGAUCUCAGCGCCAAGGCCAUCCCCUUUGGUGUAACCGUCGCUCACAACGUUAGCUCCACCCCCGAGCCUUUCAUAGGGCUUGGGUUGGAACCCCUUCACCACUCCCGCGCCGCAG
RNAcentral lists this long non-coding RNA (60173 nucleotides) under Cucumis sativus (cucumber). RNAcentral describes it as "long non-coding RNA (CSAT_LNC001810)". Lineage: Eukaryota; Viridiplantae; Streptophyta; Magnoliopsida; Cucurbitales; Cucurbitaceae. The record is from RNAcentral.